Molecule: long non-coding RNA, 44969 nt
Filed under: Coffea arabica (coffee)
Lineage: Eukaryota; Viridiplantae; Streptophyta; Magnoliopsida; Gentianales; Rubiaceae
Description: long non-coding RNA (CARA_LNC004942)
Source: RNAcentral
UUUUUUUUUUUUUUUUUUUUUUUUGCGAAGAGGCAACAUGUGAUUGCAACAGGCUUGUGAUGGAUUUGAGUUGAUGAAAAGAACCUCUAUAAGCUUAUGAUUCAUAAGAUUUCUAUCGGCCUGCAUUUGCUCUUUUUAGUUGUCCUAUAGAGGAGCCCUUUCAUUCAACAUAGAAACUGCAUUUGUCUCUGAAAAGUUUUGAGGAGCAAAACUUACCUGAGAAGAGCAGCUCCAAGAGUAUUUCUUACCGAGUUUAAAGAGUACGUAAGGUCAAUAUCAUUUCAAUGGCGUCCUGAGUUUUACAAGUGUUGGUACCACAUAAUAAGUGCCGUAAUAAUAUACACGAAUCUGCAAAAAAUAUGGGAUGUCUUGAAAACGUACAAAAAUGUUAAUAACGAGACAUUGCCUGGUCAUUGAACGAUUUGGUUAGUAGCAAGAAUAUCACUAUGCGUAGUUAAAAAAAAAAAAAAACAAAAGAUAGAAUCUAGUUAGUGGUAAAUUUACCAAUGACAAAAUUCAUAUCAUUUUUCUUAUGAUCAAAAUGUCCUAGAUGCCCAGAGUGCUAGGGUCAAAGAGUUUUAUUUUUGCCUCUUGUUUUUUUUUUGCAAUACUUUCUUCGUUCCAACUUGCUAAUUAACUCAGUCAGUCGAGAUGUAUAUUCCUCUCAUUUUUCUUUAUUUCUGAAAAACAUAUGUUCAUCCUCAAGCUAAAAGUUUUCAAUUUGUCAAUUGAAGAGAUGUAUAUUCAUAUUUGUUUUUCCUGUUUUAUUAAAAAAAAUCAAAAACUUUCUCAAAAAAAAUGAUACCAAUAUCAAAUACACUACUGUUCGCUUGAUCACUGGACUCCCAUCUCUGAAAAGCCCCAGACUUAUUGGGCCUAGAAGUUUUACUCCAGAAAAGAAAAGCACAACACUGGGUAAACAUUGGGCCAGGCCCAAGACCUCAACGGCUAGUAAGCAUUUUCGAUCCGGGACUAACAGACAAACGGCAAUUCCCCGUCCCUUCCGGACUCCGUCAAGCUAAAUUCAAAUCGGUACAAAAGGAUGAUCAAGGCCCACUGUCUCCAACGGCUAUAUUUUGCGAAGAACUGAAAAAUCAUCCUUCUUUACUUUUCUUUCCACUUUUACCCCUCAGUUCUCCCCUUUCUUUAAACUUUUGCGAAGAAUCAUCGAAAUAAGUAGCGCAAACGCACUCUUAAUCAAGAAUUUCCAACUCUUAGUUCAGUUAAUGGAAAAACCCACAUCUUAUGUUCAGGUAAUUUUUUUUUUUUUUCUGUUUGGAUGCUGUGUAAAUGCAAGAAAUUGUAUAGACUUGUGAUAUUUGAUUGAUGUAGUUGUAAUGCUUGUUUUCAUUGACAUAUUUAUACCCAUUUCAGAUAUUUGUAAUUUGUUGUUAGAGACCAUACGUUUCUUAGGUUUGUUUUAACACAUUUUGUUAGUGGUUCGUAUCAAGCUUUCCUGUUAUAUAUAUUGUCUUGUUUGAAGCUUUCGGCACCCCAAGUUAUGAUCUUUUUGAACUGUAAAUCAUGGAAAGAUCAUUAUUUUCUGGAAGAUGGAAGAAUGAUGUCAUUUCUUGGGACACAACUGAUGUACUAUCUGUUGCUGAUUUAAGUUAAUCUGGGAGACAUCCAUGGGUCUGUAGUAGUUGUGGGAAGUUUUUAGUUUAGUUGUUUCAGAACUCAGUGACAGUAGCAAACUAGUAGGUUUAAGAAGAGGCAACUAAUUUUGGACAAUAUCAGCAAGCUUGGUAUCUUCUUUAUCCUGAGUUCCUAAAAAGGCUCUCUAUCUAAUUUUAGUUGUCUUACAAAGGGCUUUCCUAGCAUAUUCAUUAUCCUGGGAUGGACAUCAUGUUUAUAAUUCGUUUAAUCAGUUCUCCUUCCUCUUUCUAUCUAAGUACAUCUGUACAUCUACAGUGUUUAAGGAGCAAUUUUGACUGAGCUCCCCCGGGAAAUAAACAAAUAAUUAAAUGAAGCUUAAAUUAAAGGAUUUAAUCCAGCUUUCAACGAAAAGAAGUAUUUGCUAUUGGAACUGUAUUCCUGAAUUUUUCUAGCUUUGCAGAAAUUUAUUUUCUAAUUUUAAUUUAAGAGUUUAUGUUAAUCAGGCAAUCUUAGAUUUAGAUGUUUGUUUGUGAUGGUGGUCAGAAAGAGAGCAUGGCAAUGCGGAUUUAUUUGCAUGUGACUUAAUAAAAGUAAUAAAACCUUGCAACAUUCAGGCUAAGUGAAAAAUGCUAGUAGUUCUUAUGGAAUGUUAAUGAACAGUUUUGACAAAGUCUCUUUUUAAGCUUUCCUUCUGAUUUUGUUUCUUCAAUACUAUCUUAGGCGUUUUGCUUAGCUUGUGAUUCAGUUCUGUUUUGCUUUUUAGGUGGUCCAAAUAACAGUCAAGCUAAAUCUAUCUUUUGUGUGUGGUGAACAGGCGUGAUAGAACAUACGGAGUUUUGCAGCCAAAGAAAAAUGGGUACUGUUUAUGAAGAGUUGGAUGAUGCUAAAGCUGAGAUUGAAAAGCUCAAAGCAAAUUACCAGAUAAAGUUGGAAUUCUCUGAAAGCCUGAAAAGAGCACACAACGAGCAGCUGGUAAAGUUUCAGGAGGUAAAUUUGAAAGUCGGUAAGCUCUCUCAGGAACUAAAUGAAAAGGCUGAAGAAAUAUCUGUUGCAAAUCAGAUGUAUGAAGAACUGAAGUCAAAGUUGAAAGAGAAAGAGGCUGUUAUCGAGCACUUGACUUGUGCCAAUGAUAAGCUUCGUGCUGAUUACAAAGAGAAACUUCAAAGUUCUGAGGAAGAGAAUAGAGGGCUAGCACUAGCUUUAGAUGAGGCUAAUGCCAAGAACAUGGAUCAAGAGCAACUGAUCCGUUCAUUGCAAGUAGAAGUUGAAGGGCUGAAGGGAAUAGUGUCUGCGUCUCAGAACAAGUGUUCAGAAGCAGACAGAAAGCACAAAGCACUUCAAGAAGUGAGACAGGGAGAAGAUGUGCUUCUUAAGUUAGAAGAUGAGAAAAGUAAGUAUGAAAAUCAGCUGAAAUGGAAGAAGGAACAAUUUGGUCAUCUAGAAGAAGCCCAUAAGAAGCUUCGGCAUGAGUUUCAAGUCUGUCAGAAAGAGUGGGAGAAAGAGAGAGUUUCAUUGCUUGAUGAGAUCUCUAGAUUGCAGACAAACUUAGAUUCGCAAACCAGAAUUUCAGAAUCUCUUAAAAGCCGCCUGGAGAUGUGUAACCAGGCUCUUGCUCAUGAAGAGAGCAAGAGAAAAUAUUUGGAAGUUCAACUUUCCGAAUCAAGGACCAAUUUUGACAAUGUUUUUGCUGACUAUGAGGAGGCAAAGUCCACAAUCGAAAGCUUGACAGGUCAAAGGGAUAAAGAAAUUGCUAGCUUGAGGAACUCUUUGUGUACAAAGGAGAGCAUUUACAAGGAAAUGCAACAUCAGGUCAGGGUGCUCGACCAAGACAAGCAGGAACUAAUGAUAUCUCUCAGAGAACUCCAGGAAGCUCAAAUUCGGGAAGGAGGAAGCGCUUCCUCUUUAACAAAACUUCGGAACAAGCUUAGAGGUGUCGAACAGGUGCACAAGGACUGCUCCAUGAGAUUGAUGUCUAAAGAAGCUGAAUGGAAUUCUCAACUUGAAAUCUUGAUGCAGAAGCUCAGUAGCUGCAGUUCUGAGUUAGAGAGUAAGAAUACAUUAAUAGACCAACUCAAAAUGGAAGCAGAAGCUCAGGAUUCCAUGAUAGCACAGCUAGCAUCGCAUAAUGAAGAAGUUACUUUGAUGGUUUUAUUGUUGAAGUCAGGGCUUCUGGAGGCCCAAAUGAAGCUUGCUGAUGCUUAUGUUGACUUAGAUCAUGAAAGGAAGAAAAGUGAACAAAGCCUCUCUCUGUUUAGAGGUCUUGAACGGGUGCACAAAUAUUGCUCCGAAAGACUCAGGUCUAAAGAAGCUGAAUGGAAUUCCAAAGUGGAAUGCUUGAUGGAAAAGCUCAAUUGCUGCAGUUCUGAGUUGGAGAGCAAGAGCACGUUGAUAGAUCGACUCAAAAUGGAGGCAGAAGCUCAUGAUUCCACAAUAGAACAGCUAACAUUGCAGAAUGAAGCAGCAGGUGUUGUUCUGUUAUUGUUGAAGUCAGGAUUUCUGGAGGCCCAAAUGAAGCUUGCUGAAUCCUAUGUUGACUUAGAGGAGACAAAAAAGAAAAGUGAAGACCGCCAAGCACUUCUACUAGAGCAAUUGGAGUUGAAGAAUAUUGCUCUAGCAAAAGCUCACUCUGAUACUGAGAAAGAACGCAAGAAGGUGGCCCAUUUAUCAGAGAAGGUGGAAUCUGUAACUUACAUUGAAGAACAGCAGCUUUUGCAACAUAAAGAGCUUGAAAGACUAGAAAAACUGCUCAGUGAAUCUUAUACAUGUCAACAUGGGUUAAAGAAGCAGGUACUCAGCAUGACUAUUGAGCUCAAAGAAGUUUGUAAUGCCCUGAAUGCUGCAUACCAAGAACUGGAUGACAAAACCUCCCGUGGAAUGGAAUUUGAAUUUGAGUUGCAAAUAUGGAAACCUUUUGCCCAGGGGUUGAGAGACAACCUUGAAGAAAAUCAUCAAUUGCAUAGAGAAGCGGAGGCCUCUUUUCAUGCACAAGUGAUGAGCUUGAAAAGUGACUUGAAAAAGGUUCGUAAGACCUUGGCCAGGGCAAAUGAAGAACUGGCGGCAAGAUUUUGUGAAGGAAACCAAGCUGAAUUUGAGUUGCAAAUAUGGAAAUCCAUUGCUGAACAGCUGAAAGCCAACCUUGAAGAUAAUCAUCACAUGCGUAGAGAAGUAGAGGCUUCUCUUCUUGCAGAAAUAUCUAUUCAGGUCAAUCUACGACAAGAGAGAGAUGGACUCCUGAACCAGCUAGAUGAAAAAGACAAGAGAUUAGAAGAAUUGGGUGAACGGAUCACUUUUUUGAAUCAGGAAAUUGAGACAAGAGCGAAAAAAGACGCAGCUCCUGAUUCGACAAAGAAUGCAAAGUUUUACAGUUCGAGAACCAGUCUUCAAAGUCCAGAUGGCAGCUCAGAUUAUUCACAGGAAGAGGAAGAGUGGGUGAAAAGACAGCUUGAAGGUGCAAUUUUUGCACAAGUCGAUGCAGAGCAGAACCACGAGCAUGAGAGAGAGAGCCUUCACCAUCUUGUGGAGGAGAGAGACCAGAGAAUAGAGCAUCUCCAGCAGCUUGUGAAGUCAUUGGAACAAGAGUUUGAGAGUUCAACCAGCUCCUUUUCCUCAAGGCUAUCGGAGAUGCAGGUGGAGAUUAAAAUGUUCCACGAUUUUUGGCACAAGAUGGCAACAACUUUGUUUUUGAAAGAGAUGGAAAUCCAGGAGAAGGACCUGAUUAAUGCUGAGUUGGAAAAUGACUUAAGUUAUCUGAAAACUGGUUCACUGGCGAAUAAAUCAGAGGUGCAGAUAUUGAGGGAUGAGCUUGAAAAGGAGCAGAGUAGGUCAGAUGCGUUGAUUCAGAAGCUUAAUGAGGAAAAGGGAAGGAUAAUUGAAGAUGUGGUGAAGUUGUCAUCAGAUAGGGAGAAUUUAUUGGACACUCUUGAGGGAUUGUAUGAAAGAAUGCAGAGGCUGUCUAUGGAUGAUCUGCAGCUAAUGGAAGGCUUGAGAAAUAUACUGCACAACUUCAAUUCAACUGAAUUAGGAAUAGACUUCAGAGGGGAGGAUGAAUAUUUUGACCCGGUGAAAGAGAACAAAAUCCAUUAUGCAUCUCCCAGAACAACAAAAGCUGAAGUCAUUCUUGAUGAAAGACUGCCGUUGAGAGCUGUCAACAGUGGACUGCUCCUGUAGAUUAUGUAAUCAAUUUUUUUUUUCAACAAACGGAUUAUGUAAUGUAUUCGCUACAUAAUUUUGUAGAACCCAUUUUUUUAUUUGGUUAUAUCACAUAUUGUUUCUGUUUUCUCCUGUUUGUAUUAUGAGUUUAGGUGAAUUCGAGUGCAAAGCAAAAUAGCAAAGCUUGGUACAAAUACAUCGAAAAAUUAUUUGUUAGCAUGCAAUUUUAUUCGCCAUAUCUCUCCUCGGCAUAUCUCUCCUCAAAAGGUUAAGCUGUAUGGCAAUUGUUGGCAAGGGAAACAAAAAGCUUGUUAUAAAGAUACUAAAAUUUAUUGCUUGUUUAUAUCAAAUGCCUGAAAAAAUAUGACAGAACUUUGAAAGAAAAAUGUUCAUUUUGAUCAAGCUCUGAUCAAAUUCCAAACACAGUUUAAGCCGGUACCAACAGGAUUUAAGCCUUGAGCCUUUUUCAAUUCAAUGUCAAAUAAAUUGAACCUGUCCUAUGUGAACGGUUGAUGCAGCCUCAAGAAUUCUGUAGUCAGUAUCUUAUGCUCUACACAUUCUACUUAUUAUCAAAAUACUAAUCUAGAUAACUAACUAGGGUGGUGAUUCAUGUUCAGACAAAUUAGUUUGAAGUAACAAAUGUCAGCUUCACUGAACAAGUCGCCGCAACUGCAGAGACGGGAUGUCUUAGCUCUGGGAUGAAUAAGGAAAAUCACUUUGUCUUUUUUGUUCCAUAUGAACUUGAUUCUUGGGAGAAUUCAACAAGUCCUUGCCUGAGAGCUUCUAGUGUAACUCCGUUAUACACUAAAAUACUCGUGACACCCAUUCUUGAGACCUGAAUAACAAUUUUAUGAGUUAGAAAGCAGUGUAAUGCAUCAUGCACAUUUGACCAUUCAGAGUUAAUUAGCAUGUGAGGAGGACUCUUACCGCUUCUAUGUUUCGAUCCUCAUCAUCAAAGAACAGCAUUGCAUCAAAUGGAAUUCCAGUCUUCCGUUGAAUUUUCUGCAGAUGCUGUGUCUUGUGAGUCCAACUAGAAAAAAUCUCCUGCAUGAAAAGAAGAAAAGAAUUACGAGAAAAUAUUGAUACUUUUGUUCAUAAGUAAGACAUGCGUCAAGAUCAAGGAUUAACUAAGGCCUAGAGGUAAAUGGCCUGGUUUUCUUUAUCUUUCUACCCUUCUCCUUGCCAUUUCUUUUCUCAAAAAGAAGGAAGACACAACGUAAGAGAAAAGGAACCCAAAGCCAUUGCACCCCUUUGUAAUCAGAUCCUGAUACAAAGUAUGACUUCAACAAGCUACUGUAUAGGAUACACAUUCAAACUACUAAGGCAUGCGGCAGGGAGUACGCAUGGUUGUCAACUCAGACCAUCUGAAUGUUAGGAUACAUAUGGUGGAUUAUCGUACAAAUACUCUAAAACUAUGAGCAAACAAAUGCAUGCAGAAAGUGUAGAUGUAUUUAACAUCAGGAAAGAAUAUACUAGUCUGUGUUCCCAUGCUAGCAUGUUGCAAAUUGCUGAUGAAAAUGUUUCCCAGUGUGCAAUGAGGAUUGCGAAUAUAAUUUGCAGGUAUAUUCUGAUAGAGUACCUCCGGACCAUGCGUCUGGGGAGAUGUAGAAAUUACUUUUCUCAGUAGGACAGCAUGACUACUUGGGCUAAACAAAAAUUUCUCCAGCACUUAAAUAGUUAAGAAUUCAUGUCAGAGACAAUUUUUAUGACAAAGAAAACAAACUUUUAUGACUUCCAUUCCAGAGACAACAUGAUUAUACUGUAAUUGGAAAUUUGUAUCUUCUGGUGGGGGUAACAUGCGUUCAACACUUAAAAAUAAGUUUUUCAACAGGGGAGAUGAAAUUUGUAGCUCUUAUUGUGUUUCUCAAAUUUCAUUUCGUAAGAGGUUUAUAAAUAGGAUUCCUCCUGCAUCCACCUCAGGAGUUCAUUUAACUGCAUCAAUAGAACUUGGAGAUUGCAAGACAGAAGUUGAUAGUAGCCUCUUUGGAGCCAAGGGUGAUAUAUAGACAUCAGAAUUACCACGAGGGGUAUAGUUCUUGUUGCAUUUCUCCUGUCUUCCUUUCUUAAGUGAGUGCAGGAAGUGGAGACAUUCAGACCUUAUUCCUUAUCUAACUUAGAUAGGCCAUACAAUCACGCACAAGUUCCAAACUCCCCUUUAUAGUUUUGCUUCUGGGAUGCUAUUGUACAUAAUACUUUAAAACUUUUACUCCUAGAAUCAUUCAAAGCAAAAACUAUAAAUAUGUUCAGCUGAGGCCAAGUAAAAACAUUACUUCUGUAAAGUAAGGACAUGGAAAAGAAAAUAAGCAGUUACCAUUAUAGGCUGAAAGAAGCCAAAAUGCGAAGGAAAAAUGCAUUUUCAGUUGGCUUACCUCGGCAACAAAGAUGGAUCUUAUACCCAAUUUCUCAAGAAAUGUCGUAGCUAUGUCACGAGCUGGAGAUCUUGAAGCAAUGGCAACAUCAAUUCCUCGACCCUUAAGAGCUUGAAUUAUUCCUCUUGCAUGAGGGUACAAAUUUGGGGAAUCACUCUCAUAGCAGCACUCACUAAGAAGUCACAAACUAUUAGUGCCAUGAAUGACCAACGAGUAAGAUUACACCAAACAAAAGGUCAACCAGCAUCAUCUAUAUAUGUGUUGUUAUCCAGCAUUGCAAUUCAAUGGGCCAAUAAACUGCUAACAACUGAUUGCAUAUUUGAUUUUAAAAUCCCAAUAUUCUUCUCCAAGCAGUCAAAUUCUUACUCAUCUUAUUUGGUUACUCGAUCUACUUGCUGAACAUUUUUCGUUAUACAUAGCCAUUCACUAUACACCCAUCUGAAGAAUUUGCUGAUUUGAUCAAAACCAGACAGUGGUAAAGUGAGGGUCCAGACAUCAAUUUGAUUGCUCUCUACUCUACCCACGUAAGCUAGUACAUAGGGCUACAAAAUGGAAGAGCUAAAUGCACAAAGAAUUGUAGAUAAUGAACCUGACAAGCAUAAAAAGCUCUUUUUUUUAAAAAUUUCUUUCCUCAUUCUGCAAUACGAAGCAAUCUCUAGAACUAACAUAAAAACAAUCAACUACAAUUUGUAAAUGACUAUGCAUAAAAAGAAAUGAAUUGGAAAGAACAAAUUUUGAAUAGGCAGGGCAAUGCUUCACUACCACGGACAUUUUGAUUAGCAUAUGCAUGCACUGCAACUAUCAAUUACAAAGAGAAAAACCUACCAAAAAGAUUAAAAAAAAAAUUAGACAUAGGACACUAAACCACAAUCCAAACAAAUCCGAAGUUUAAGCUGGAAUGAAUUUUAAGCUGAAAAAGGUCUUUUUUUUUGGCGAAAGAAGUUUGUAUUGAUGGAUGUGAAUAACAAGAAGGGUGUGGUUUAAACAGAAAACAUAUAUAUACCAGUAAAAAGGCCAGAGAGUGUAAUCAAGAUCGAAGACAACAAGGCGGGGAAGUUUCUGAUGAAGUCCCAGGAUUUGGUCUGCCUCUUCUUUCACUUUCUUGUCAUCCGCCAUUGCUAUCUUCUCUGCCCGCUUCGCGUGCCCAGAGGAAAGAGACAGAAAAGUGGCUUAUUUGAUCAAUGUUUGGUGGCGUGCUGUGGAGGCGGUUUUGUUGGUUGAUAUUUGACUAUAUUCAUUCUCAUUGGUUGAAGUUUCCAACAUUUUAGGCUGCUGUCUAUACUAUAGCAAUGAUUUUUUUUAAUAUUUUUUUUGGCACUCUUUAUUACCCCAAAAAAGGGUAGUAAUUUAUAUUCUUUUUAAUAUUUUCUCUGUUUUUCAGCUGUUUUUUUUUUUUUUGUCAAAUGUCAACUUCUAUAUAUUCUGUUUUUCAGCUGUCGCAUAACUUGCAUUUAGUGUUUCUUGUGUCCUUCCUUGUUCUUAUCUUAGCACUUCUUUAAUAGUGCGGUAUCUAGAUUACGAAUACUUUUUUUUUUUGUUAAGAAUACAUUUAAUUAUAACUUGUGACGGAUAUUUUACAUACGUGCAAGCUAAAAAAUACCGAAUUACACCCGUUCACUGCAAGUAUACAGAUCAACUAGUAGUUUAGGGUAUAUAUCAGGUCGAUCCCACAAGGAAGAGUGAACAAUUACCGGUAUUACUAAAGCUUCUCUAUUAUUUAGACUAUCAAUAAAUUAUAACAAAUUUAACCUACUGAAAUUAUACAAAAUAACAAAUAAAAACUCCUUAGGUUGUGGUAUCCCUAACUACUCAUGCAAGUGCUAUUUUUGGAUCAUUGAGUACUACAUCUAAGCUAGUUAUGGUGUAAUUUCCUUAUGCAUUUGAAACCUACUUUCGUAGUGAAUCAAUUAUACUCAUAACUAAUCCAUACCUAUUCUCAUGGUUAUGAAAUUAGCUACAAGUUUAUUUUUUCAAUGAAAUUACAUGAAAUUAAUCACCAAAACCCCAUAGGUGCACCUCUACUCUCGUGAGUGUACUCCCCAUGUUUAGCACUUAUUGAACUAAUGUUAAAUCUCAAUUUUCAUUGCAGAAAUAACACCUUAAAUAAUCACAAUUAAUGGUACCAGAUUAAUCAUGAUUUAAAGAACUAAAAUGCUAAAUAACUUGCUCAAAUACUAGCAAUCAAAUAGCCAAAUAAUAAAUACUAACAAUCAUAGGAAGUUCAACCAAACCCAAGGCAUAAACUUUAGAGACACAUAAAUAACACAAAAUCCAGAACUUGCAUAUUAACUAAAUUUGGAAUCAAGUACAAAAGAUAAAGAGUUGGAAAGGAAUGUAACCCAUGUCACUUGAGCUCAUCACCUUGACUUCUUCAUCUCCAUCUUGAUCCUAGUCUAGCAAUAUACAAGAAUGGAUGAACUACACUAGCUAAACUAUCCUACACAAAGGAAAUGGAAGAACUACAUUUCUGCACUUCAAGCUCUUUCCCCCGUAUGUCUUUUUUUUCUCUUCCCAAAUGUCUCUGCAUAUAAGCUGAUGAAAAUCUCCUUUCUAGUCCAAAAUUUCUGCUCUAAUGAUUCUCAAAUCUCCAUUUGUUAAGGAAGUCAAAAACAAUGACUUUUGACUUGGAAUAAGCCAUAUUGUGUGCUCUUUUUGUCUUCUGAAGCAUGUGCACCGAAUUCACUUGCAACUUAUAGCUGGAAAGUAGUCUGAACACAAAAGAAUUGACUGAACAAAUUGCAGAAUUUCGGCCAGAAAACGCGCCUACACAAAACGCGGUUACAAGUCACGUUUUGUGCACUCGCGUAUUCACUUUGGCCUUACUUUAUCUGCGAUUUUCUCUAUCAUCAAGGCCGAACUGGCUUUUGUGAAAAACACAAAAGUUGUAGCCCUUUGAGUUAGCUUUUCAAUGCUUCAAGAAUCAUCCAAAUCUGAUCUUUGUAGCCUGAGAUAUGAUCCAAAUACUAAACACUGGUCAGAGCUCUGUUUUCCACUUUGGACAGCUGAGUUGAAUUUCGGUAUGUCAACUUUUGGGCUAUGAAAACGGCUGAAUUGUACUUUGAUGUCUUCAUACCAAAUGUAGAUCUCUUUCUUAGCUUUAAAUUGGUAUAAAGAUCACCUCAAUCCGAUCAGUAUAGCUCCAGAUAUAGUCAAAAUCCUGAAGAGUGUCAAAACUGUCUUGACUUGCAUUUCCUUACUUAAACGUUUUUCACUUCAUUUUUCUUUUUACCACUUUGAAUUCAUCACCAAAUCUCUAUUUUUCACUUCAAUUGACAUCCUUUGGUGGUUAAAUCAUCAUUCCUGCAUAAAAAUGAAGUUUUACCUAUUAAAAUCAAUAGAAAUGCAAUAUUAGCCACUUUUACCAAAAAUGUAUAUUUUUACCAAAACCUUAGUUAUUUUAAUUAUAAAACUAAAUAAUCAAACCAAAUUAACUAAUAAAAUGCACUUAAAAAUACGUAAAAUAAAUCCUUAUCAACUUGUUUUUUGUUAAGAAUAAUUAAAGCAUAACUUGUUUUUUGUUCCUUGUUUUAAAAUCCAAUUUGAACCGAUCGAUCGGAUCGAUUGAACCAUCGAUUGGCCUGUUUUUCGAUCUAGAUUAAGUUUAAAAACUAGUUAUCAUCAAUUUUACAUUAAACUAGUUGAAUCACUUAGUUCAACCAUUGAACUGUUGAACUGAAAUGGUUUUGUGACAAUGGUUGAACUGAAAUGAUCUUGUGAGAACUAGUCAGUUCAACAUCCAACAUUAAUUAAACCAACAAUUUUGAAUUUAGUCAAUUAAUCUCAUCAAUGACAUUUCAAAUUUAAUAGUUUAUCAAUUACCCAUGCAUAAUUAUCUUCAAUUAAUUAGACAAUUUAACAAUUAUUGUCUUAUUCUAUUCAUUUAUCUCUCUCCUCCAUAAUUAUAUAUUAACUAUUGUCUAACAUUUAUGACAUAUAAUUGGCUAUAUUAAUUUUUUUUUAAAUCUUGAAUGCAUGUCAUUUAUUUGUUAAUGUCUUUUAAGUUUUUUAUUUUUUCAUAUAAACUAGUACUCAUAUAAUUUAGAGAAAUUAAAAAUAUAUGAAAUAAUACUAUUUAAAUACCUUUAACUUAUAAAAGCUAUUUUUGAGUUUCAAACAAAUAAUACUGGGUUUGUUUGAAUAGUGUAUUAUUUGAGAUAUUAUUUGGAAUAAUUACUGUAAUACUUUUUGUGAUAUGAUGUAUGCGAGAUAAAAAAAUAGUUGGAAAUAUAAAAAGGUGGGUUGGGAAAUGUGUAUAAACAAACUCACAACUACUUAGAAGAAUAAAAUGAGAAUUCAAAUGAUUAUAUUAAACAGUAUGUAACCACAAGUCCUCCUGCGCUGGUACCCACAUAAACUAUAAGGAAAAUUCUCCAAUUUCCACUUGGCAAGAAUAUGCCCAGGCAUUACCGCGGGACCCACUCAACCCGGAGUAAUAUUCACGGCCUCAUUAAGAAAAAGGGGGGAAAAAAAAAAGAUUCACGGCCUCCCCCGCCAUCUGACUCCUAUUUUCUCCGCCGGAGACACCUUACAACCACCCCUUUCAUUAACUCCACAGCUAUCUAGUGCCAGGUACCAACCGACGUCGUUUUUUCCCCCUCUUUUAGUUUUACUUCAAUUAUAGUGCAAAAAAGUUAUAAGUUAGUUAUUUUUUCUUCAAUUAAAUUUCUUCUUGUUCAAGGAUUAGAUUAAUUACUAACUACGGAAAUGUUUAUUGACCAUCAAUAAGGAUUUCCCUACUUUUUUAUUGGAGGAAAUAAAACCCUAGGUUCAUAUUUGGCUUUUUUUUCUUGUAAGUGAUUAUUUUUCUUUCUGUGUCUGACUGACAAACCUUCUUGAGAGAACAGGUAGGGAAAACUGUUGUAAAUGACCGAGAAGUAUUUUUGGAUAUGUGCGGAAUGUUGUGGUUUAUGGUUUUGAGGCAUUUUUAUGGGAAAUUGAAUAAAUUUCAGAUUGAUGAUGGGUUGAAGGUGGAAUUAUUGAUGGAUUUAUUCUCUGUGGUCUUUUGCAGGUUAUUGGGAAAAGGGGCUGUGAAGAUUUAUUCAUUGAAUACUGAGGAUUUGUUAAUAAAGACGGAUCGUUUUUAUGCUGCCUGUUUUUCAAAGUUUUUAGAUUUGAUCACUAAUGGCUGCUGCUGGUUCUUUGCAACUUUCCCAUGAAUUGGAAAUUUGCAGGAACCAUGUAUGCAAUAAGCAGUCGCUGGUACAGAUGCUUAUUUUCAGUCACCGUUAUAGUUUGAUCUAACUUUGUUUUUUAUUUUAUUUUAUUUUUAAUUUUUUCCUCUUACGGAUAAUAGUAUCAAUGUGCUCUGCUGCAGAAUGUAACUGGAGGAUGCAAAACUUACUUUCUUGGCAGCAAUUUUACAUCACUUAUUUUGGUACUGUUUUCUUGCUUUUGCGAAUUUACUCUAUGCUUUGCUUUAUUGGUGGUGUUACCUGUUGGAGUUGAAUGUGUAGGUUCAUCAAAGGGGGCGUUUUGUCUAGGAUCAUUUGUAUGUUACAAUGUUUGAAUACUACAAAGAUGGAUUUAGCAAUUUAGUUAUGAUUUCUAUGUUGGUUUAUACUGGUGAGCUUACUUGGGGAUUGACUUCUAUUCAAUUCUUCCUGUGGACUUUAGUUUUGACUGUGCUAGGAGCGUCAUUGACAGAGUUGGAAAGAAACUAGAAUGCAAUUUUGAUGUAAUGAUUUCUUUCUUAAGGAGAAUUAUUUGAUCCCUGACUUGAUUUGCUUUUCUACUUGCUCCUAUUGCUAAACCUUCUUACCAUAGCCAAAAAAAAAAUUGAAAAGAAAAAAAUAAAGAACAAGAAGAAGGAGAAGUUUGGCUUAAUUUGGGUCAGCAGAUUUAUAAACUCUGUUUUAAAUUAAGCUUUGGGUACUGUUCUGUUGAACUUAUCGAGCUGCCUAAUCUGACUCUUGAUAUCCUCCUUCUCGCUGGGAUAUAUUCUCUAUAACUCAAGGGGAGAUUUUAUUGGUAUCUCAUUGAAACCCAUGCUAUAUGCAAUUUGAAUUUUGGGGGUUAUAAGCUGCUAUAAUUAAUUUUUGGUACAGCAUUCUAUCUUUGUGGUUUGCAUGGUUUUGUUUAUUUGCAUGAUGAAAUUUGAGAUACUUCUCCAUGCCAUGAGCAGACCUGACAGUCUCCCUUUUUUGCCUUCCAGAGGCGAAAUUCUUGGACUCCUCAACUUUCGACCAGAUUACGUUGGCAGACUAACUCUCUCCCUUACAAAUACUAUCAGUUCAAGUGUUACUCUUCACUAAGUCCUGGCCCCUCCUUUGACAUUUCCACGGUUAAGAAUGUUGCCUUAACACUAACAAGGUAAUUGUUGGAUUUGGGCUUCAUUUCAUGUUUGCCUUGAAGUCCAAAUUUAUGCAUGUGUUGUAGACUUUUUUUUUCCUGCAUAUGCUAUCAUCUGUUCAGGAAAUUCUGAUAAUUGAUAACUGUUUGCAUGCAUAUGCUAUCAUCUAUUCAGGUAGAAGAAUGAGAAAUUCGUAAAAUUCAAAUAGAAAGGGAGUCGGAUUCAUCAAUGUAGCCUUAACUACUUGACAUAAAUGAAAAUGUAGUAUGAUUGAUAGAUCAAUCAUUGGCUAAAUCCUAAUGUGGUUCCAAAGAACAUUGCUUGGCGGUAAUUGAGGCAGGUUGUGUGAAAUAUACAUAUUAUUUUUGGGACCUUAGUCUCUUAACUACAUGCUUAUUAAUUGAAAUAGGAGCAUCAAUUUUAGAUUUGUUAGGGCACUCUAUCAUUAUCCAUAAAAUCUGAUCUUUACCUUCGUUUUCACCUAGAUUUGGUAUGAACAGCGUGAAGGUAUGGGAACUGAACAUGCAAGUAAAAUUGGAAAAUGAAUGCAACUCAGAGUCAUGGUCACUUUAUUUGUUUAUGGAGCUAGCAGUACUUCAGGCUCAAUUGCAAAAAUUUUUAGCCAUGGUACCAGAUCUGUAGUCAGCUGUGACAAAAAUUGUUACUUAAAAACAUAUCGAGUAAAUGUUGAUACUGAAGUGUUCCUUUGAGUCUAUUAUACAUUGUCUCAUAUUCCAUUGUGUUGAGUUUUUACUUGAGCUGUUGCUUUUUAGUGCUUCUGGAUGGUUGUGUGUUUUUUGAAAAAGUGCUUCUAAGUUUCUAGAAGAUUCAUUAGUUACAGUUUGGUUCAAAGUAUAUUUGGAUGAAAUUGAAAAAUUGGAUAUUGCACACUGGAAAAAGUUUGAUAAAUGUCACCCCAUUUCUAAAUGGCUGUUAGUUUUCCACCAUGUCUUUUAUUGCUUUUUUUUUCCUCACUAUUUUUGUUUAAACUUGACAAGCAGGUCAUGCAACAACUUACUGGGUAGUCCUUUGGUGAAUAAGCUGUUUCCUGCAGUAGGUAUAGUUAUUUUUACAUUAUGGGGUCUUGGGCCACUCAUGCGGCAAAGCAGAAAUAUAUUUCUUCAUGUAUGCACUCAUCUCUACCUUCCUUUCACAAAAUUCUUUCUUCUGUUUGUGCUGUCCUGUUGUUAAUUAUAAAUUCCAUGAUCUUGCAGAAGAGUGAUAAUAGUUGGCAAAAGAGUAGCACGUGUUAUGUUUUGACCUCUUAUCUUCAACCAUUUCUGCUAUGGAUAGGGGCUUUACUUGUCUGCAGGUUAGUAUAUUCAUUUGGAAGAUGAACUAUCAUUUGAUGAGAUUAACAAUCAUGUGACUUGGCAUAUUCUGAAUAUAUUGACUUUGUCUACAGAGCAUUGGAUCCAGUAGUUCUUCCAACUGAAGCUAGUCGAAUUGUCAAGCAACGGCUGUUAAAUUUUGUAAGAUCAUUGUCAACAGUUUUGGCAUUUGCCUAUUGUUUAUCAAGGUGAGUGAUGUUCGUUGCAGCUCUAGUUUAUCUGAAAAUUUUCUUAAUUGCUCUAAAUGUGUCGAUAUAAAUUUCUGGCCCACUUCUGGGACUUUGUAGAGUUGAUGAUAUUGGUUCUUCUUGAGCUUCAUUGGACCAUAGUUUAAGAUCUGUGUUGAAUCACUUUACAUUUUUAGUCAAUUUACCUAAAUUCUAGUAAUUAUGUGUAAAAAUUUGUGUAUUAUGUUUUUGUAGAACUGAAUUUUAACUUCUUUUGGCACCAUUCUCUUGCUUUCUAAGGUGCCAGUUAUUUUUCUUUCUUGUUUUAUCUUGUAUUGGAUUUCCAAUUCAGGUCAAACUGACACUACAUUUGUGAUGGCUUCUUAUGGAACUAAGCAGCUAUUGAUAAUUUUUUGCAGUGUUAUUCAGCAAGCACAGAAGUUUUUUAUGGAGACAAAUGAACCUGCUGAUACUAGAAAUGUAUGUACAUAUGAUAUUUAUUGCAACAUGCUUCAAUUUUACUUUUAAAUCCUCUCAAAGACAAAUUAGCAAACAUUACUAGAACAGCAUGGAUUUUACUCUUUUAGUUCUUGUAGUGAUUGAAUUUACCGGACCAAAAUUUCAUCACAACUGAGGCUAUUUCUCUUCUAUAUUUCUACAGUUCCGGUUGUGGAUAUCUAAAAAAAUUAGUAGUCAUAUUUUUGAGAAUCCUCUAAAAUUUUGCUCAACUUUGUGUUGUCCGACUUGAUGUGCUCGUGAUUUUUUUUUCCCCUUCAUUCAUCAAAUCAUCCAUGUUACUCCUGUUGUUUGGUAAUCAAAUCUCAUGUAGCUUUCUUAUAGUGCAUAGAGUUUAGGUGCCAUCAAUCUAGACAAGUCUUGAGGUACAACUUGAACAAGUGGAAUUUUUAUUCGUGCACCUAAGUAACAUCUCCUGCUGCACAUUCUCUGUAGCAUGCCUUUCCUCCUAGGCAGGUUGGUUGAAUUGAAUACUAAUAGGCAGAAAUCACAAGAUGCUAGUCAAUCAUCAUGUACUCUAACUAAAUCACUAUGCAGGAAAUGUAUCCAUAUUUUUUCUGAUGCCAGUUAUUGCAUUGAUUAUGCUUUUGUCAGUUUAUUAGGCUUUUCCUGCUGGAGCAUGGUUUUUUAGUUUUCUAAAUACGAUCUGGUUGUAUCAUGUGCUUGUAUCCUCUUUAGUCUUGCACUCUAUUAUUUUCAUUCGAGGAGACGGAAUGAGCUUUUCUGAUGUCUGCUUAUAAGAAUUUUUAAUGAAGAAUACAGGAACCAAGAACAAAUGGAGGCAGCAUUUGUAGUUGUCUUGGUGAUGUAAACUAUUAGGAUUUCUUGCUUAUUUGCAGAUGGGCUUCCAGUUUGCGGGAAAAGCUGUAUACACUGCCGUAUGGGUUGCUGCUGCCUCAUUGUUCAUGGAGUUGCUGGGUUUCUCAACCCAGAAAUAUCUCACUGCUGGAGGGCUUGGUACUGUCUUGCUAACACUUGCUGGUCGUGAGGUAUGAUUUAGAUGUCUUUUUUUCUCAAGCGUUUAUCCUUUUUCUAGUUGCAAUUUCUUUACUUGGUCCAGGGAUCUUGGUAGAUUUACACAUAUUUAAAACAUGAUUUUAUGCUUCUUGUGUACUUCAUUUGAAUUGUUUCUGCUGUUACUAUGCUCAGAUCUUCACCAACUUUCUUUCAAGUGCAAUGAUUCAUGCGACACGGCCAUUUGUUGUGAAUGAAUGGAUUCAGACAAAGAUUGAAGGCUAUGAAGUUUCUGGUACUGUCGAGGUUGGUAUUUUGGUUCUCUGCAACUUCUCCCGCUGUAUUUUACUACUUCUAGGUGAAGAAGGGUUGAAGGAGAGUAUCGAGAGAGAAAAUAUUUCUGUUCUGAGAUUUUUUUUUUUUAUUUUAUGGACGGACUACAGAGUGCUGUAGAUGCACCUUAAAUUUUUCCGAAGUUGAUUUAUGAAAUUGUAUUUUUGGGAAGAGAAAAUACUCCCAGAACUUUCUUGGUUUUCUUUUUGCAGACUUUAGUAAAUUUUUCCUUUUUAUCUGUAUUUACGUCUUUGACAUUUUGCAGCAUGUGGGGUGGUGGUCACCAACAAUUAUAAGGGGUGAUGAUCGCGAAGCUGUUCAUAUUCCGAACCACAAGUUUACAGUCAAUGUUGUCAGAAAUUUAAGUCAAAAAACUCAUUGGCGGAUAAAAACUCAUCUAGGCAUCAGUCACUUGGAUGUGAACAAAGUCAACGUGAGGCCAGAUUCUGGUUAUACUUACCUUGGAAUGGACCAAACUUUUGAAUUUUGGUGUUGUUUUCUAAACUUUGACAAUUGACAUUUCUCUUCUUUUUUUUUUUGGGCAGAGCAUUGUUGCUGACAUGCGCAAAGUUUUGGCAAAAAAUCCCCAAGUUGAACAACAGAAGUUGCACAGAAGAGUAUUUCUGGAAAAUAUUAAUCCAGAAAACCAGGCCUUGUUGGUCAGUUUUAACUCUUGAAUUCUUACUUGCUGUAUGUGUUUGUUCAGUUUAUGCAACUGCUAGAUCUAAGGUCGCUUAACAUGAUUAUAAGGAUUAACGGAUGUGUCUGUACUUCGUCUAUUAGCCAAUAAAAGUUCUGACUGCAUAUGGUCUUGCAUUCAAUUGACUUUUCCUCCAUGCCUAUUAAGAUGAGAACUUCCCAUUCCUUUUCUGUUCAGAUGUUGUUCUGUUUUAACACUUAAAGAAUCUGGCACCUUUUUGCUCAUUGAUAAACCAAAAAUUUACUACCUUCCCAUAUCAAGUCCUGCUGACAUUGUGGCAAGAGGUUGAAAAUACUUAAAUACUCAUGUUUUCUGUUAUUUGAAGCUUUUGUGUUCACCAGGACUCUUUCAAUUUUAUAGAUUUUGAAAACUUUAAUUGAUCUAUCAUCUCCAUUUUGCAGAUCUUUGUCUCAUGCUUCGUGAAAACCUCUCAUUUUGAAGAGUACCUAUGUGUGAAGGUGAGACGAAAAUUUUGUCAGAAUUCCAUUUAGUCAAUACUGGGUCAAAGUGGUGCGGUAUUGUUCUAUUGAUGCACUGUUAUUUAAAAUACAAGCAUGAGGAUUAUUGAAUUUCUUGUUACUCACAGUUGAGCUCUGGCAUUGAUGGAAGGCAUGAGAUACAUGUUAGGGAACUGAAUAUACAGAAAAGAUAAGCAAAUAGCUUGAUUAGUUACAAUACAACUGUGCUAGUAAACUGCAGCUGCUUUUAAAAGUCAUCUCCUGCAGUAAUGUUUGGUUGUGUGACUGAACAUAGCUCAGCUAUUUACCUUUAAUGCAUUUAUUAACUAAAAACGUAAGCAGAAGUUGUUCCAACUUGACUCCAAAUGGGAGUACAUCAUGUUCUAAGUUGGAAAUAUGCAAAGAUCAGCUAACUUGGUUUCAUUUUUCAUGAGAAACAGGAGACUAUAAUGUUGGAUUUGCUUAAAGUCAUCCGGCAUCACCGAGCUCGACUUGCCACUCCAAUCCGUACAGUUCAAAAAAUAUACAACGAUGCUGAUAUGGAAAAUAUACCAUAUGGGGAUUCCUUCUUUGACAGGGGGACAGCACCAAAGCGUCCAUUGCUUUUCAUUGAGCCCCCUUAUAAAAUCAUCAAUGGAGAAGAAAGGAAGAAAAUAGAUGGUCGAUCAGUUCGCGGAAGUGGUGGAGAGGAUGGCAAGGCUACAGUGAGGCGAAUACCAGAUACUAAGGCUGAGGGUAGAGGUGGAACAAAUCAAGGUUCUGAUUCUAAAUCUAAAGAGGCACCUUCAUUUAAGGCAAAAGAGACAUCAGCAUCUGAUUUGCAAGCUGAUACCAAGGUUGGAGAAAUGUCGAAUCCUGAUUCCAAAGAGGGGGUCUCGAAAGUUGAAGCAAAGCCUUCUGCGGAUCCAAAAGUCAGUGAUAAAUUUCAAGUCAAAACGUCAUCAGCUGGAACAAAGAGUGAAAGCAAGUCAACUGAAUUGCCUACUGUUGACUCAAAGUUGUCAGCUGAUAGCAAAAUUUCCAACAAAAGCCAUCCUGCAAAAGCUGUCCAGGGCGGUCCUAUGGGCAAUGCUGCUGGAAAUGCAUCAACUUACUUACCAGAGCAUGGAGGCGAGAAACCAGCUACCACAUCCUCUACCAAGCAAUUGAAGCAAGAAGAUGAUAGGCCACCCCAUUCACAGCCAUCUUCAACAAAACCUGUCAUGGAAGAGAAUAUUGUUCUCGGCGUUGCUUUACAGGGCUCAAAGAGAACGCUUCCAAUUGAAGAAGGCAUGGUUCCCCAACCAAAUUCUUCGGAACUGAAGGAACUGGCUAAAUGUCACAGUGGCAACGGUACUCCAUUGGUAGACAAGGACAAAAAGGAGAUUGUACAAUCAGAGAGUGCUAAGUCCGCUUCUGAUCAGUUGGAUCAGCAAGAGUAAUGGGCUUUUGAUUGCUCUAUUGUUGGCUUAAUCAACAGAAGUUGCAAAGCCCUCCUUUGUAUGAGGCUACAUUUCUCAUUGACUUGUUAGUCGCUAUAGCAAGAUUAAACAUUUUGUUCUGUGUAGAUCACUAGUAGGGAACUCGUUGCAGUUAUCCAGUCGCUUGUAUAUACUAAACAGUAUUCGGAUCAAGAGAGAGAAUAGAAAAAAUACUUAAAAGUGAAAUAAUAGAGAACAACUAUACAUCAGUGUGAAUAUUUUUGCUAUUUCAUUGAUGUCAGCUGCUGGUUUUGCAAUGGUAUGUUCAAGAAUUAGCACGAUGCUGCGUCCUAUUGCUGUCUUUUUAUUUUUAUUUUUUUUGAAUUAUUAUCUUUUGGCUUUAAUCCUGUGAAGUGGAAGCGAUAGGCACUUGCUUCUUCUCCCAGCAUUGUCUUGAUAAUUUGACUUGAGCAACUUACCCCCCCAGCUUUUCCAUUGAUAUUCCUCUCUCUCUGUACCUGGUAUCUGGCAUCAAUUUUUGUGUUCGUUCAUUCGUCAUUGUGUUAAUUUAGAAUUGUAGAUCAAUGAUAGAUGUUGUCUUAUGAGGACAUGCUUUUCACCUACAAUUUGUGCUAGCAAGGCACUGAAACAUGGAGCUGCAUCAACAAACGAGACUGCUGCACACACCUUAUGACAGAAAACUAUGAGAGCAUUUAAAAAAAAAAAAAAUACACUCCAGGUCUUUAAUUUAAUGUCUUCAAUGAUCACAGCCUUCUUCAUCCUCUUGUAUGCCAGCUACAAUCGGAGAGUUUCAUUAGAUUCCUCGACUUCAAAUCUCUGUUCCAGCCUUGUUCCCUAGAUGAUUUGACUGAGAAUGGUGCCCCGUGAAAGGAUGCCUUUAUUUAGCUGUUGCUCAUCUGAUGUAGGGACGUCUGCUCCUCCUCUUUAUAUAGUACAUGUUUUGAUAACUAUUUAUACAACUAUUUUCCUUUUUUAUUUAAAAAAAAAAAAUAACUACGCUGCACAUCUUCCUUUUCUUUUGGUUUAGCUCAAAAUUUCUAUUUGUUUAUUGCUUUACUUAUUGGUCAAUCAUUAUAACAAAUCUUCUCUGUUAAACCCUUAAAUGGAGUUUAUAAAAUUUAGCAGCAACAACGCGUACACAUCACAAAUAGCUUUUCGCAUGUAACAAUAAUAAUGUAAAGACAAAAAAAAAAAGGAGCAUCGAACUGCGAACUUCUUAGUAUUAUAGUUCUACCAACCUUUUUCAAAGGGUAACUCAUCAUCAAUUUCUCAGCCGACAAAACUUUCCGCUUGUUUUUCAGGUCACGGAGGGCUAAAAGCAUAGAUGCAACACAUGCAUAAAAAAUAAGCAAGCAAAAAAGGUUUAAUGAUUAUGAUUAAUCAUUAGUUCCUUUGCUUUGCUGUUCCCAUUUUCUCAACGAGAUUUUCAAGAAUCAUGUGAAAACUAGGAAUGGAUCUAGCUUUUUCCAAAAUUACUAUUCUUUUUCUCGACAAACCAUUAAGUUUAAAGGACCUUCUUGAUGAAUGUACAAUCCAGGUUGGCAAGAAAAGCACAUCUCACCAGCAAGAAUGGUCCAUAAUUCUAGGCCUUAUGUCAUUUCAAUCAAUGCUGAACUGUCGUGGGCCUAUGACAAUUUCCUUGAUGAGCUGUGUGUUCCCUUGGACAAAAAAAUCAAUCACAUAAAUGAAUGGUAGCAUGAUACAAGAGAGCUUUUUGUCUUUGAUAGGCUAUUCAAGAUUCUGCUAUCAAUUCUGACCAAACAGAGCACAACCCCACAUUCUACUAAAGUCUCUCUCACUCCCUAUCAUAUAUAUCUCACAAGUGAAAAUAACACGAAUGGCUGUAUGGAUUAUACCAGAGGAGGGGUCGCACUUUAUUCCCACUAAUCACUUAUUCCUUCUAACAUCAGCCAACACAGCUAAUAGAUGCAUGUACACUAGAGGGCAGGCAUCAGUGGCAGCUAAUUCUUCAAUCCAAGAACACUAGAAGCAGUAGUAUUAUGCUUGGCACAUGCAAUCAGGAGCAGGAUAGGUAUAAAGGGACUGCUCUUUUUUGCGUAGUCUGAUAAUCCCUUGUCUAUUUUUAUGGCCUUCAAUUAUUGCCUCUUGGAACUCAGGCCAAGUCAGGUUUUUGUUUAGGAAGAGAGGGCCUAACAAUGCCAUGUUAGGCCUUAUGGUCUUCAUAUUGAUAUAAGUUCGAUGUCCCACCUGUACAAUUUCAACAUUUUAUUAGAAUCAGAGUGUAUUGGAAGAACUUAAAAAGGACAGAAUCAGCAGAAAUAGCAGAUUUUGAACGUUAUCAGACAAAAAAUGAAAGCUGUAAUAAAAGUUGCAAGUAAAUUCCUCAACUAAACUGCACUUUCCUAUAAUAAGAAUGACCUCAGGUAGUAAUUAUAGACUUAGAUUCUGCAAGUAAAUUUUGGCCGAAACUACUUUUCAACAAAUUCCAUGGAAACUACUUUUAACCCACCCUCUCCUGCAAAGGAAAUAUCUCUAAUAAAGAAUUUUGGUCACAGAAGCGAAAUUAUAUAGUGGCAAUUAGCUGUACAUCUUACCAUGGCAUUGUGCAUAUUUCCUGGAGAAGCAGAAACAAAUAUAUCGCUAUGCAUGCUGACAUAGUAAUCAACCGCAGCUAAUAAGGAAGCUUUUCCUUUAAUCUUGACUCUUUCCUCUGAAGACGCAAGGCUCUUCUUAUCUUCCAUAAGCGGGAACAAGCUUCGUAGGGUUGAAAUCCUGGCUUCGCCACCAUAGACCUGGAAAGGAUGAUACGGCUAACUUCAGAAACCAUGGAUGAAUACUUUUGUAAAGUAAAUCUAAGCUUUCAAGCGGUAAUUAUAAUGUUUAGUAUAUUAUGAUGGCUCCAAUAAUACAAACCUUAUGGGACGCCAGAUAUAGGCGGGUAUUGUUGUCAAAUCCCAAAGCUGCAAGCACAAGUCCAAUCUCUUCUGGUGUCAAUGGGCACCGCCCCUGGCUUCUCAACUCCUCAUCAGUAAAUUGAGAAUUCAAGACCCUUCCUUGCCAUAUUACUUGGCGAUACUUUGCCAAAGCCAGUUUUUCAGCCUUGCCCCCUCCAAAAUCACAAGCUGAAUGAGCAGCCAUAUCCUACAAAAGUAAGCCGGUCAAGGAGGAGUGAAGACAUGGAAUGCAAUGCAGAGACAUCCUCGGCCAAAAAGAUAUGUUGCAAACUAUUAUCUGAUAAAGAUGUUAAUCUCUAUUUGCCUGAAGAUUCAACGAUACCUUAUCAAACCGAAGAUGUAGGACAACAAACUUCCCUGCUGCCUGGUCGUCUCUAGAACCACUAACCUCCCUGAUGUAGUUAUCACCCACCAUCUCAUUCCUGCUAGGGGAAUACCUUAGGCGACUGACAAGAGCGUCUCCAAGAGCUCUGAUGUGAGGCACAAAAACUAAGGCUUGAAAGUUCACUUUGCAGCGCAAGCGUUGGACUUCCAUAGGCAUGUUGUCAAAGUCCAAUCGGUGAGAAAAUGGAGCAAUUGCGGCAACCCCGUAGCUGACGAUUUUCAGCAAUGCUUCAGUGUGUCAGUGGAGGUUCUUAAAGCAAGUGACGGCUACUUAUACAACUAAUAGGUCAGAAAACAAAUUGAACACAAGUAUCCAAAUGGGCAGACUUUUUGUUCCCAAUUCUUCUAAAAAUCAGGGGAACAAAAUAUAUCCAGUUUCAAACAAAUCAUAUAAGAAUUGCAUAGUUCAAACCUUAAUGAACUAACAAUUUACAAUAAACAGCAUUCUUUGGUGAUAAAAAAUCCAUUUGUUGCUCUAAUUUUCAAAGAAAAACUUCAAGUUUUUCACCAACCUUUGCAGGACAGGCAAGACAUUCUCCAGAUACCAAUGAGCUGAAGCACGAACAGGAGCUGUUUUAAUUCUGGUAGAUCGAAUGGCUGCAGCAUAAUACUCCCGAGUGCUCCAUGAGUAUUCAUCAGGCAACUCCUUAACUACACGAAUAUCAUCUUUAAGUACGCUGAUGAAGUGAUCCACAUCAAAGAUUUCCAUAAAUGUGCUGCAAGAAGAAUGCAGAGAGUGUGGGCCAUUUCAUCUAAAUAGUUCAUAGCAACACUACUGCAAAAAUCUCCAAAAAAAAAAAGAACAAAUUUACAGCAAAAGCAAUUUCUUUAGAAGGACCUUGAAUCUUGCCAAACAGGGUUGACUUCCAGAUAAGGGAUAACAAGGGUUGCAUUCAGAAUUUUUGCAACAGCAACAGCAUCACAAAUCUGUUCUAGACAACAAAAAAAGUAUUAGGGAAUAUGCAAAUCCCAGAAAAAAAAAAUUUGUAGUUGCAUAAGUUGUGCUUUUUGUUUUUGCACUGAGCUAGUGAGAUAACUGUUAAAGCUUACCCCCAUUCUCUGCUGAUUCAGUCCGCCAUCUAGGAACACCUGAAUGUAACCUUCUGAUGAUUCAGGCAAUCCUGGUUUUAAAAACAAAAAUUAUGAAGUCCAUCAAGGAAGAUCAACGGAAUAAUCUUUAUAUACGUAUUGCAUGCCACAAAUUUAAAUCUCACCCCUAAACAAAUAUCUUAAAUAAUGUACAGCUACUUCAAAAUUCUGUCAAAAAACCCUUUUCACCACUUACUUGAUGCCAUGCCCGAGACUUUGCACGUUUUCCAUUCUUGUUUAGGCAAUGGUGUCCAUAAUUCAGACUGCUGCUCAAGUGACUAAACAAGAAAGGACAUAAAAUACUAAAUAAACAUUUCUAGUAAGAGAAAUUUUCAAGUAUACUUAGUAAAGGCUUACAGUUUCACGCUGCAAAGCACCCUUGAGUAGACGUGAAUGCCUAGGUUUUGGAGUAUUCCACUCCUGCAGAAAGAAAUUAAGUAAUGAAUAAGUGAAUUUCAAUUGGUUUAAACAUCCAAGUACAAACACUGAGCUAACUAAAACAGGUUAAUAUGCAAAUAUGGCCAUCACUCCAUAAUUCCGAACAUAAUCUAGGUUUGAUGUGAAUUUAAAUAUCACUUAGCAAACAACUCUAUACUAUGGCAUACCCUAUUGAUCUAGUUGCUUUAGAGAUGUGCCAAAGGACACAGGCAUGCGUACUAGGAUUAAGCUAAGUCUUUUUCAAUGUCAUUUGGUAACAAUUAUCUAAUUAUGCCAUCAAAGGAAAAGCUAUAGGACAUUACCAGCAGAAUUACGUCAUUUCAAGCCAAGCAACAACUAGUUCACCCCUUCAUGCUUUGCCAACUUAGCUCGGAAACUCAUUAUACUUCUCCUAAACCUAUGUUAAGUAACCUACAAAAGAACUAGGCAAAUUACUUAAAACAUGUUAUCCUGGAUGACAUAAUGCUCCGGGGGCUAUUGACUAAGGAGGAUUUUAGCUAGCAGAGUCUCCCUUUUCCGUAGACCAUGUAAUACCCCUUAAAACUAAGGGGGAAGACAGAAAGAAAAAUGAAAACUCCAACCCAAUCCCCCUCCCAAGAUAGAACUCAUUUCUCAUUUUUGAGUACUAAUUGUGUCUCCAUACCACCACAAAUCAGUUGACAUUUUACCAAUCCCAGCCAAGCACAUCCAAUUCACCAAAUGCAUAAGAAAGAUUCAGUCAAACACAUCAAAAUACUUUUGCCCAGAAAUCUGAUUUGAGUUGCAAAUAAUCCAUUACCAUACAGCAACGGGGCAAAAUUCCUUCCCUUGAGAACUUUAUGACCAUAAUUAACGACCCUCUUCACGACUUGCCACUUUGGUAAUAGAAUCCAUCAAAUUCUUUUAAGUGACAGAUAUGAAUGAUAAUAGCAGUAUCCACAAACAAAGGCUUCACCGAACUUCUGAUUAGGUAUUCAUUCUAAAACCGAGAUUUCUACCUACUCGCUCCUAAACUCAUAAGCAAAUAAACAAACUUCCCUUCUAAAAAUUUCACAACACUACAUAAACGAUCGUGUCUUUUUCACGUAAUUAUUCCUCCAAAAACAGACAAGGCAAGGCUUGAAAAAACUUCCCUUCAACCACAACUCAACAGAGACCACAAUUCAAAAAAGUCUGAACAAGCAAUCCACCACUGAGAAUAAUAAGAAUUAGCUUAACAAAAACUACUUUCCCCUACAAAUUACAUAAAAACUUCAAUAGAACAUACCGAAAUAACGGAUGGUGAAGCAUGGCUCAAAGGGGCAAAAAGACUAGGAAAUAAAAUAGGAAGAAGCAACACAAAAAGAAUAGGCAUAGCUCCUCUUCUGUUGUUCUGACGAGGGGGAUAGCGUCCCAUAUGAGCAGUGGCUUUGCUCAAGCAAGCUCAAGACUUGAUUUUGAUAAAUAAGGAACCACCAAGUCACAAUCUUGAACCGCUACCCAAGUGAUUCUCAUGGAGGGGAGCCACAGUAAAGAGGGGCCAUUAUCAUUACCAACCUCAGCGAGAGCAGCAGCUGUGGUUAAAGCAUCUCACAUGGGCACCUCUCUCCACAUCUCUCUUUUUGUGUAUAUUGAAGGGAAAAACCCACAAAUCUUAAAGGCACCAGCUGCCAAAAAAAUAUAUUGAGUUCCUCUCCUUUUUGCUUGUGCCUAAUGAUAGUGAUAAACGUUUAUACGUAAAUGGCGUCCUCUUCAGGUUGAGAGUCCAGCCUCCCAACGGAUAGAUUUAUAAUUUGUUACAACAACAAAGACUAGUUCUGCUGCUAUUUCCACUAGAUUCUGUCAUAUGGGUUGGGAGUGAAAACCGAAAAGUGAAAAAAACAGCCCACCGAACUUUGGAGGGUACGUGGCAGCAAUAGAACGAGGCACAGUGUCUUUUGUCGUCCUCGAGCUUAGGUAUGCUUUCUCAGUUGGCUGGUUUACUUUUUGCUUUGGAUUCAUUGGCUUUUAUCGCAAUAGCACAUCAUUUUUGCAGAAAUGACAAUGGGAUUUGGACCCUUUCGGUUCACCACCGACACUUGGACGGGCUAGAGUGAUCCGAAGAAUAAUACCUCCAGAUUUAUGGUGCCCUUAAUCAUUAAUGCUCACUAUUUGGUGUUUUUGGGGGGGAGUUGGUGUAAAUGUGGUGAAUCGGAAAUGCAUAAAUCGGUGUUUAGAACUCCUAUGUUCCGGUGUGAACUGUAGGAAGACUUUUGCAUCUUUUAAUCCUUGCAUUGGAAUGUGUGGUCCUUUGUAUAAAAUGGGAGACAAGGAAUCCAACAACCUAUCUAUCAUCCAAGAAACUUCUCUUUUGGUUUUGGCACAUCUCCCGGGUUUAAUUUCAUCAUGAUUCUUGAGUCCCGUGUAUUUGGUUCUGAGAUUAGUACCCUGCUUGAUUUUUGAUUUGGAAUAAGUGAAGUGAUUUCAUAAACUUCUUUUUUAUCACGUAAGGUGGAUGGUACCAUCCAAUGAGGAUGGCUCUAACUUAGGAGAAAUUCUACCAUCGUUAUUUGAAUGCUGCUAUGUAUUAUGAUCAUAAUCUAAUAAAUUCUUGAUACAUCAUUCAAUCAUGCAAACUCUUAAAAUCAUUUAGGAACUAUGGUGAAUUAAUACUCAUGGGUAUAGUACUCAAAAUCAGCUUUGACAGAGGAAUGUGCAAAUGACUUUUAUCCUUUUUAUCCCACAUUUUUGGAAAUACUUUGGUUUGGAUGAGGUUUAGAUGAUGUUGGGAUCAAUUUUACCACUCCCAUGACCAUCUAAUUGUAUAUUUUCUACAAAAUUGGGAUAAAUUUGGCUGGGAUAAUCGGUCAUUAUUGUGUAUUUUCUUUCUCUAAACUUGCAAUGACCGAUUCAGAUCCAUCAAGGGAGUUGAGGGAAGCAUGUUGAGAAUAAUCAGGGGCACGGAUAAUUACAAGUCCAAUUUAUUUGCUGAUAAACCAAUAUUCUCGAACGUAAAGAGUAAAAUAAGUAAAUAACCUUAUACUUUCCUUUGUUAGGUUUAUUAGAAUGCAUACUUCGUUGUAAAUUACCGCGUAGUAAGAUAAAAUAUUAUCUUGCACCCUUCAAGUACAUAAUAGUAACAAUUUAUUUUAUAAAAUUUAUAUUCAUUUUGAAUUUCGAAUAUCUAAAUUUGAAGUAUAUCCAUUCCCUAUUUUUCAAUAAUGCAUGCAGAGGAAUAUAGUAAGUAUCUAUAAGUCGAAUCAAAAUCCGAUUUCCAGAGCAUGGAUUGUAUAUUAAGGAAGUCAUAAUACUCUCAACCUUCUACUCUAUGCUAGUACAUAGAAUCCUGUGUGUUUGAAUAAAAGAUUAUUUGAAAUAAUUACUAUAGUGUUUUUUGCAAUGUGAUGAUGUGAUGCGUAUAAAAUAAAAAAGUGAUUAAAAAUAUAAAAAUGUGUUUGCAAUGCAAAAAAAUAAUUAGCAAAUUAUUGAAAUCCAAACACAUUUUGAAAUAUUUGGAUGGUGGGUUAUUUGAAAUAUUAUUUAAAAUAAUUAAUGUAUCACUUCAAUUGUCUAUAUGAUGUAUGUGAAAUGAAAAUAUGAUUGGGAACAUAAAAAUGUAUGUUGGAAGAUGUGUUUAUAAUGCGCGCAAAUAAUUUUUUGCCAAAUAACUAUUAUCCAAACACAUUAAUUAAUUAAUGUUUUCUAGCCAUGAACAGCAAAAUUAGAUAUUCCCACCACAAAAUUAGUUACAUCAACACUAAUUGCAAAUGCAAUUAUGCAAUAAGUGAUUUCCCACUUAACCUCUCUUUCAACAACCAUAAAUGAGGUUAUAAAACUAAGUUGAAGGCACUAAUAGAUAUGUGAUUUCAAUAGUUAGAUCAACACUAAUUGCAAAUGCAAUUAUGCAAGAAGUGAUUUCCCACUCAACCUCUCGUUCAACAACCAUAAAUGGGGUUGUAUAACUAAGUUAAAGGCACUAAUAGAGAUGUGAUUUCAAUAGUCAAUCCACUUAUAUUUAUAGGUUAUAUUCCCACCACAAAAUUAGUUACAUCAAUAUUACUCCUUCGUCCAACUUUGAUAGUUCUGGUUUUUUUUUUCACACAGUUUAAAAAAAAUAGUUAAUUUUGUUGAAACAAUCAAUUUAUGUACCUAUUUUUUUAAACUACCCUCACAUUAAUUAGAGUACAACUUUAUGGAAACUUGAAUUGAUGGUAAAAAAAAAAAUCAACUCUCAUUAAAUGGGGUAGGUUUAUAGUAACAACAACUUACAUUGAAUAAGGGUAUUUUAGAAAAUUAAAAUAUAACUACAUUUUUCGAUUGAAAAUUGAAUUAUAAUUUGGGACAGACGAAAAAAAAAAAACAAAACUAUUAAAGUGGAAUGGAGGGAAUAAUUGCAAAUGCAUCAAGUGAUUCCCCACUUAAUCUCUCUUUCAACAACCAUAAAUGGGGUUAUAAAACUGUGUUAAUGGUACUAACGGGGAUGUGACUUCACCAGCCAUCCACUUGUAUCUAUGGGUUUGAGAGCUGAGAUGAAUUUAAGAUACCCGGUUUGUGGGGGCAGAAUUCAUGAAAGUACUUUUUUCUGUAUUUUUCCUGAGAAAUGUGAAACUUUUUGACUUGCCGUACUGAAAGGGCAAUUAAGCCAAUCCCUGAACUAACGUGGAAAGACAGUUUUGUCACUCCAGAGUCAAGACUCUCUCCAGACCCUGUUGACCGGACCCUAGUUAGUGCAGGCGGGCAGCUAUCAUCCUCCAUUAAUGGUUCUGCGUCUUCCUCCCCAAAAACUACCUAAGGUGGUGUUUGGAUUUUUUUAGAAGAUCCAACAACCAUGGAUUGGACAGGGUUAUAAUUGCUGUAUAAGAAUUCUGGCGGGUUUAGUCGGCCUCAGAGUCACAAACAAACAUUACGACAAAAUAUGCAACAAAAAUCCGAAGGAGGAACUAAUCAGUGAAAAAUCCCUUUUUUUGAAUUGUAGGUCAGAAUUUGAACCCUAUUUAUCGUGAAUAAAACUUAAAUAAAGGUAUCAGAGUAUCUCUUUGAUCUAAUUAGGUCUGUAUACCUAUCUGCUAGUUCUUACAUAGUCUCUUUAGCUUCUUUCGUCCUGUAAAAUAGGAUAGGUUAAAUUAUACAAUUGUUAUCGUUAUCGAAAAAAAAAUGCAACAAAAAGAAAGAUGCUUGACUGUCAACAAACAUAGAAUACUACUUACCUAUAAAUCCCAUUUCAUACACCAAAAAAUCAAAGUUACACAAAGUUAAUGAUUUAACAAAUUUUAGCAUUUCAUCAAAUCACAAAAGGAUGAUUUAAGUUCUUUUAUGCCAGCUAAAACGCCAAGGUAAGCAAUAUAAAGAACCAUUAUCAUCCGCUUGAUACAUUGACAGCGUGUGUCUUGGUCUUGCAAUAAUGAGAUGUGCCUUUUAUUCAUAUAAUACUUCCGUGGCACAUCGCUAUUGCGAAGGUUAUAUUAAUUGAUAAUUUGUAAAAUCUCUUUAAACGACUCAUCAUCGUUGGUUCUGAAAGACUCGUAGUGACGAUCGAAAUAGAAUCGUUGUUUGGUGUUCUUUAUGGCGGUGCAAUACGUGAUGUCAUUAUUGUUUAACAACUAUCAAGCCAACCCCCACAAAACACAAGUAAGGUAAAUAAAAGAAAGCUUCAUCCUCUACCGUUUGUAAUCGCAAGGAUUACAAGCUAAUGUACAGCCUUACACGUACAUAUUAUCGUCCUACUAAGUACUAGUAGUAUUAACGAUGCUCCUCAAUAUGUUCCACCGAUGACUAAUUGUGGAAUGUGACAAGUGACAUACUCAAGCAAAAAUAAGCUGACAAAUUACUAGGAAAGUCAAUUUUUUGUUUUUGUUUUUUUUUUUUGUAAGCGGAAGGACUCGAAUUCGAGACCUCUUGCUUACACUCCCUCCCCCGUACCACCCAACCCAACCCUCCCCUAGAAAAGUCAAUUAAUUUGUACUAAUAAUGCACAUAGAAUAUUGCCACAGGAUUUACAUUUUUAAAACAAAUUUUUUGGCUCUUGACGCAAUAAGCUUAUAGGUGGAUGCCCCGCCCCUUUCACGUAGGAGAUAACGAUGAGCAAAUAAUUCACAAUUGGAUGCUGUCAUUCUUUCCCAUUUCUUCUGUAUUAUUGGCCAGAUGUGAAAUGAUGGAAAUUGACGUAGAAGUGACAGUUGUCCUCUGCGCAUUGAAGAAAGAUUAAAAGUUAAUGAAAAGAAUAAAAUGCAUUAAACUUGUUGUGAUUUUUUAAUUAAACUUAAGUUAUCCCCGUGAUUUUCACCCUUCAGAAAAGAGGCACGUACAAUGCAUCAAGAAAAGUUCUCCGUUUCAACCCACGUUGCAACAAGCUGGAAAACGAAAGGAAAUCGUAUUAAAAGCUUAUUGAGGGGGCAAAACAAGGACACUGGCGUAAAGCAUUGGAUCACAAAAUCUCUUAAAAAUAUGAUGCGCCUCCUGAUUUCUCUCAAUUGUACAUAUAUUUUUAUCAUCGAUAUCCAAUCAUGAAAAGGACAUUUACUUACUUUUUUGAGUUAAUAUUUUAUUGCCUCCAUCGUAUCGCUGUAGAUUUUGGCUUAUUCUGACUGUUUGGAUUGUAAAUUAUUUGAGAUAUUUUUAUUGUAACAUUUUUUGUGAUUUGAUGUAUGUGAGAUAAAAAGGUAAUUGAAAAGAGAAAAAGGUGUAUUGGAAAUUGUAAUGAUGAUGUAAGCAAAUAAAUUUUGACAAAUAAUCCUCUAUCCAAACAAACCCUAGUCUAGAUUCAUUUCCCUUUAAUGUCCCAUGAGUUGCAUAGAGCGCACAACAAUUUAUCAUGAUGGAUCUUUAACAAGAUUGGUGUAAAAAAAAAAAAAAAAAGAAUGUUAAGCCUUGUUUGGAUUGCGAUUUUUUAUCGGAAAAUUAUGUCGUUUUCUGUGAUUAUAUUUUUCUAUUAUCUUUUUCUCUCAUAUACAUCAACUCGUUACAGUAAUUUUUCCAUGAAAAAUCAUGAAAAAUGCAAUCCAAACACAACCUAUAUCCUAUAUGCUAUUUUGAAUAUUGCAAAAUUAUGCUAUGGAAGGAUUGUGUCACAAAAAGGAAGAAAGUGUGUGUUCCAAUGCAGAUUCUUUGUGACAAAAGGUUUACACAAUUUACUUAUUCAUUUAAUGAUUGUGGCACAAUAAUAAACUAAAACAACAUAACCAAAGAGCCUUUGGUCUAGUCGUUAAGAUUCAGAUAUGAGAAAUAAGAUGUUUUAGGUUCAAAUCCUCCUUUUACCUUCCUCACUUUUUAAAUUCCACCCUCUUUUACUAAAAAAAAAAUAAUUAAGAAAAACUAAAGCAACCGAUUUAGUUUACAUCUAUACUAUUUUUUAAAUAUAUUUUUAAAAGAAACUAAAGCAACCUGGUUAGCUUCCAUCUACACUAUCCGGUAUUAUGGUUAUAUGGCUAAUAUACUUACUUUUUUUUUUUUUAAUUAGUUGGCAACAUCUAUACUAUCAUAUUUUACAUAGAAGGAAAAAUUCAAUUGAGAUCUUAUUUGAUAACUUAAUUCAGUACUUAAAUUUAAUAGAUUUAAAUCUUAACAUAUUUGGACCGUUUGAUAACAAAAAAUUGAACAUCUAAAUUAAUUAAGUAGCACUGAAUUUCUUAGAGAAAAUUUGUUCCCAAAAUUAAGUGAUAAGUUAUUCAUUUAUCAUUGAAUGUAUUAGAUUUAAAUACUUAACAAUUCAAUAACUUAAUAGAUUCAGAUUUCAGUUUUAUUAAACACGCGCUGAGUUGUAUAAGGGGUUAAAAGGAAGACAGUCUCAUCCAAACCAAAUAGCUGUUUUAUUACUGAUUUUUAGAGUAGAAUCAUAAUCCAAAAAAAAAAAAGAGCUUAUUUUUCUGCUUCGGACCUUUUUUUUGGGGUCAUUCGGAAGGCUUUAGGCCCAUUACAAUUGCAGUCGUCAAGGUUUGCUAAUUCCGAUUCCGUCAUGCCCCAAAGUGGUGGAUGGGGAGGCUCUUGAAGGAGAAAAGACCCUGGUUUUUUUAAUCUCCCAAAAAUGCCAAAAGCAGCUUACACUAAUUCAGAAUACUAAAAAUACGAGAAAAAGAAAAGCUAUUUUCUAAUCAAAAACUAAAAUCGGAUGUAUGGAUUAAUUUUAGACCAGGCCUGAAAAGUAUUUUUGCAGCGUUGGAGGAAUAUAAUUUGUACACUUCUGCAUUCUUACUCACUUCCUGGUUAGGUUUACCCAAAUUCACACACAAUCGCUUGGGCCUCAAUCUAAGUAUACUGACAAUUGAAAGCAAAAAUCGAGAUAUCAACCCAUCCAUCCCUAAUUGGGCCACAGCCCAUACUGUCCUAAAAUUCAAAUGCAGUAUAAAUUAGAUUCAAGGGAAGCGAAUAAAGUUGAACGUGAAUUUGCAUAUUUAUGCGAAAACCUCUCACUCAAUUUUGUCAUGCCAAGUAAAUCAUGGACUAUUUUCAGCAUUUUGAGUAAUAAAAUUUUUUGUCAAGUAAAUCGUAUUUAGUACGAGAUUCAAAAAAAAUAUUUUCAGCAAAUAUUUUUGACAAUUUUUAGCAUUUUGAGUAAUAAAAUAGUUUUUUAUUCAAAAAAAGAAAGAAAGAAACACUUGCAAACGACGUCGUCUUUUGACCCAACUUCCUAGUGGCGAUGCUAGUACUAUUUUAGUACGGGCUUCAAAUCAUCAAACAGAUUCAGUUGGCAGUUGAAGCUUACGACUACGAAGCAAGGAGGCUGCAGCAGAUCCCAGCCCUCAACUGUCUCUAUAUGUUCAGUUGGCAGUUGAACUACUCACCAAUUCUGUGUAUUCACCCCCCGCCCCAACCGGCAGUCCUCCAUUACUAUUGCUAUUUAUUACUAGUAGAAUUCUUCAUUUCUCUACCUCGAGAAGUUGAUAAGGUUCCCUCAGUUUCUCCGCCGUCCUACACUGGAAUCUCCGAACUUCUUCUGUAUCUAUAGCUCUCUAGAUUGAGGGGGAGGAGGAGGAAGCAGGCUGUAUAUUGUCCGAUGGCAGGGGUUUUAUCAGGUCUGAAACGCCUAUACCUCACCAUUUACAAUUGGACCGUCUUCGUCGGAUGGUAAUUCUUCUUUUACUCGCUUCUUCGGAGUUGAUCUUAUUUCCUUCGGUUAUUGAAUUUUCUUUCUGCAAUUAAAUCUUGGUUUCAAUUUGAUUUUUUUUUACCAGGCUGCAGGUGUUUUUUCUAGCUGUGAAGACCCUCAAGGAGUCGGGGCACCAACACGUCUACGAUGCCGUUGAGAAGCCUCUGCUUCUAGCUCAAUCUGCUGCCAUCUUAGAGGUGAUUCCUUUGGUUUCUUAAUUUUAUUUUCUUUUCUGAAACUUCUGGUCUUGUUUUAUAUUUAAAUGGGCAUGCGGAGACAUUACUGGUGUAAGAUUUUACUAGGAUAUCUACAAGUUUUGACCUUUAUGUAAAAUUGAAUGAGUUUGGCUGCCCACGUCUAGUACCCAGUAUUUCCUUGAGGCAUGGGAAUGUAUGAUCUUUGAAACUUAGUGGAAUAAUGUAGCUUAUAAAUAAAAUGCCAUCUAGUGGACAGAGCUAAGUCCUUGUAUUGGUCGGGCAGAACGUUACGCAGCCCUCUUGAGCAGUUUGUUUCGUGUACUAGUGAAAUACUUGAGCUGAUUGAUAUCAGAUACGCUUCUGGGAUUUAAGGAUGAGGCACUUGCUCCAUGUGUGGUGGUUGUGUACUGAGAAAGUGAGUAAUGGAGGCUGAGAGCAAAUUACUUUGGUUUGCUGUAUACUGUCAAUGCUGUCAAAUGCAUUUUAGUCAGAGGAGGUAUUGUCUUGGAGUGUUUGUGCUUAGUAGACUAUUAGGAUUUUCAGUAACUAGAGGAGUUGAAAUCAUAAAAAUUUGAUCAAAGAGUUAUUAUGCCACUAGAGAAAACAUAUUAUUACUCAGAAGUAUUUGGAUAAAAAUCUUCUUGUCGAUGUGAGACUCUCUGGGGCUUCAUAGUGGGUUUGUACAUAUGAGAAAGAAUAUUGUUUGAUCCUAGAAUUAUGAGAUAAGCAAUUUCAUACAAAUGCUCAACCUGUUUUCUGUGGAUGAUAUGAUAAAUGUACGCCCCGGUACAUAGUAUGCAGUUCUCCCAUCCUUUUGUCUAUUGUAACUUUACAAUUUUGAUGAAAUUUAGUUUACAAAUGGGGAUUCCAUUUCUUACCUGUCAAAUCUAAUAUGUACCUAACUUCUGUUUUCUGUCCUUUUCAUCCUGUAUGCUUUAUAUGGAGCAGAUAAUUCAUGGUCUAGUUGGUAAGUGGACUCACUGAUAAGCUAAUAAUAGCACUGUAGAUUUUUGUAUCAAAACAAACUGAUGGUUUUUCCUUCAAAAGGCUUGGUUAGAUCUCCAGUUUCUGCGACGCUGCCACAGAUUGGUUCAAGGUUAUAUGUAGCUUGGGGAAUUUUGUGGAGCUUUCCUGAGGUUUGAGCCAUUGAUGCUAAUAGGUUUUCUCCUCUUUUUUUUUCCCUUAAAUGGUGAGAGAAUUUUAUAUUACAAAAAUCUAUCUUUCACCUCACAGGUUAGGACUCAUGUACUUGUUAGCAGUUUGGUCAUUAGCUGGUCUAUCACUGAGGUAAACCUUUCAUAUUCAUGUGCGUUUAGUUUGCAUUUACUCUAGAAUCUCUUGCCUCACUUUAUUUUAUUUAUUGUUGGAAAAUCAAUCUCACUUGAGAAUGAUUUACUUUCUUACACUUCAGAUUAUCCGAUAUUCAUUUUUUGGGACAAAGGAAGCCUUUGGCUCUGCACCUUCAUGGCUUUUGUGGCUUAGGUAUGAACCAUGCAACUGUGAUAUGGAAGCCAUGGUGUUUAUCAGUCUCAUUAAUUAUUCAACUGUGUGCUUCAGGUAUAGCACCUUCCUCUUGCUGUACCCAACGGGCAUCACGAGUGAGGUCGGUUUAAUAUACAAUGCCUUACCUUUUAUCAAGGUAAUGAACUAAAUCCUGUAACAAAUUACGCUAAUCUACUGUCAAUCAUUGCCCUUAAUGUCUCUUGUUUGGCUAGUUAAUAUUGGAGAUAUCCAGUGCAGCAGGAGUUGAAUGCCCCUAGCACUCUUAUUACAUAUUACCAUACUACAGAAUUACAUUUUUGCCAAUGGAAAGAACUUCUCGAUUGUCAUAGAAUGAAUGACUUGUACAUUUUAGUUUGUGUGAUUGUCAUAAGGUUGAUGAUGCAGUCCUGUAGAAUCAUCUGUGUUCUCAGUUUGCUCAUCUAGUGAUGGACUUUUUGAGAGUUUUAGCAUUCAGCAGAACAUUUUCCUAAUCUAGACAUGGAUUGCAAUAUCGUUAAGUGGUUAUGGUGAAGUCUCUUGCAGAACAUUUAAGCUCACUUUGCCUAGUGGUUAAAAAUUUGGACGACAGCAGACCUAGAAACUUUUUAAGCCGUUGAAUUGUAUUGCACUUUAAAAUAAUUGCCCAAAUCUAAAUUUCUUUUGCCAUGCAGCAGUAAUUUGACAGUUUGUUUGAACUCCCUUUUAUAGCUUCAAACUCAUUAUCAAAUCUCUGUCAUUGAACACAAUAAACAGAUAUCCUAAUCAGUUGUACAUGUCUCCUGGGUGCGCAUCUGUUUUAACAGAAUAAGACAUAAUUUCCUGGUAGUCGAAAUCCCUGUAAAGUAGUCUCUCACUAUUGAAAUACUUCCUUUUGCAAGUUCAUCUUGUUAUUUACUGUAAUCAGCAUGUGCUGUAUUCCAUGCUUCUGGGUAUUUCAUUUCUACGAUGCUUCACGCAUGGCCAUGUACUGCUGAAAUAGUUUGUAGAAGUUUGUGAGAGCUUUCUUAAAAGAAAUCGACUUUCUUGACCUCGUGAACUCUUUUGCAGGAAUCCGCAAAAUAUUCUGUAUUGAUGCCCAACAAGUGGAACUUCUCAUUUGAUUACUAUUAUGUUGCAUUUGUCGUUCUUGGUGUUUAUGUACCAGGCAUGACUUUCCUUCCUUAAAGAUUGUUUAUUUUGUUCUAUUGGCUCCAAAUACUGGUCCAUCAAAGUUAAAAAACAAAAGAUCAAUUUGUAUUCUCUUUGCUGUUAUUAAUCAACAACCGCUGCUGUCCCAUGCAGGCAGUCCUCACAUGUAUACCUAUAUGCUCGGGCAAAGGAAGAAAGCUCUCUCCAAAUCGAAAAAGGAGUAGAUUCCUGGAACUGAUAUAUGCUUUAAAUUAUGAUUUUACAAGAAUUAUCUAUGUUUUUUUUUUUUGACAUCUAUUCAACUUACUGAAUGUAGUUUUCCUAUUAAAUUGUCACGCGGAAGUUUGAGACAAUAUAUUCCCUCGUUUUCCCAUUACCUAAAUCAUACUAUUAGUUUUCCCUGAUGCAAGAUUAAUUACCAUAUGAGCCCUUUGGGUCUGAUAAUUGUCUUUCUCAUACUUCAGAACACUUUUUUUAAGUUUAGUCGUCCGACAAUAGCCUUGGCAAUUGACACAGUUCGCAUGGUCUUUUCUAGUGGGAAAAUACCGGUUUUCAUCCCCAAACUUUGGGGUAAAGACACAUUUCGUCCCUUAACUUUUGGGCACGAUACAUUUGAUGUCUGAAUUAAUAAUUUUUGACCAAUGUCAUCCUCAAAUGGCAAUUUAGCCAAUUUUUAAUGGAACUGGUCACGUGAAAAUCACAUGACCGUUAAGUAAAUUUAAAUCACAUUUUUAACAAAACCUGCCAGUUUCCCAUAAAGAACUGGUAUGUUAUGGGCAAUUUAUUAUUUUUUUUAACUUUCACAUAUUUAAUUUAUGUUAAAUACAAAACAUACUAGUUUUCCUUUGGGCGCUAUUUAACCAAUUUUUCCUAUAAAGAGCUGGUAUGUUUCCCAUAAAGAACUGGUACAAAACAUACUACAAAACCUGCCAGUUUUCCAUAAAGAACUGGUAUGUUAUGGGCAAUUUAUAUAUUUUUUUUUAACUUUCACAUAUUUAAUUUAUGUUAAAUAAAAAACAUACUAGUUUUCCUUUGGGCGCUAUUUAAUCAAUUUUUUCUAUAAAAAGCUGGUACAAAACAUACUACAAAACCUGCCAACUUCUCAUAAAGAGUUGGUAUGUUACGUGAUUAGUUCCAUUAAAAAUUAGCUAAAUUGCCGUUUGAGGAUGACAUUGGUCAAAAAUUAUUAAUUCAGACAUCAAAUGUGUCGUUCCCAAAAGUUGGGGGAUGAAAUGUGUCCUUACUCCAAAGUUUGGGGAUGAAAACUGGUAUUUUCCCCUUUUCUAGUACACUCUGGUGUUGUUUCUUUCAGCUUAGUUUUCAUAACUAGAAAUUUGGCUCCUCAAUCAGAAAAAGUUCGCCCCUUUGGCUCCAAAUUGCACUUGCUCGCCUUCUCUCUUUCAGAUGUUUGAGAUGCCUGUCCAAAGCUAUAAAUAGGUGCUAAAGAUUUGGGGGUUCAAUUCCUCACCGACACACAGCUACCAGCCCCCCGAAUUGUGAGCUAAAUAUACCAUCUUUGCGAGUGAGAUGAGAGACGUGUCUGCUGGAUUGCGUCGACGAGUCAUGGUCGGCUGCACUUUGCCUUGCACACACAAUAAGGAAAAGAAGACUUUUUAGCGUGGGUGGCCCGUUAUUUAUCUGUUUUGGUUCAGUCACUUUGAGGUUCGGUCAUCUCUGUUUGGAUCUAGAGAGUUUUUCAAAAACUAAUUUUUUAAAUAUUAUAAAAUUUUUUUAAAAGUACUUUGAAAAGGAAAUUAAAUUUUUUAAUAUUUAAAAAAUAUUUUAAAAACUCUAUUACUCUUAAAUAUUUCAAAAUAUUUUCUAAAAAUAUCGCAAAAUAUAUUCUAAAAACUCUGUUACAAUAAAAUUUUUUAAGAACACUCCAAAAAUAACUAAUUCAAACAGUUGUAGCAGAAUACUGCCCUACCUACUUUUUGAGUUUUUUCCACACACGGUUUUGAAUGGAAUGGGCACCUUCCUAAUUAAACUGGUAGGUAUUCCAAGCAUGAAUACCAAAAUAGGUUCAUCAGUAGAAUGCGGGAAUAAAGACAAAAGGCAGUUUCAGUUUCCUGCUUUAAGCUGGAAGGACGAACGGAGAAAUACUUCAUAUACGUUGAAAAUUCAACUAGGUAAGGCUUAAGAGCAGAAAUUUAAUAAACUUCGAAAAAAGAAAAUUUUGUUUACUAGGCUGACUUGCUUUUAUUGACUUGCCUUUGCUUUCCUUCUUCAUUUAAAUGCUGUAGGAUUAUUUUCCACUUUGCUUUGCUUUGCUCUGCUCUUCGUUCUUCAUUUUGAAUGCGGUAGGAGUAUGCAGCAAAUGUUAUGAGACCUCGUGAUUAGAUUAAUUGUGUACUAGUGCAAUUAAUUAAACAUCUUUUAACUGCAAACCAAACUCUUUCUCGACGCCAUAAUCAUCAAACUAUCCAAGUUCAUCAACUACAUGCAGUUCUCGAGCGCAAAUUCUGUUUAUUUGGCUUCAGGGCUGAUCUUCGUCCUGAAAUUUUUCCCAUUCCUCUCAUUUGCUAAUCCUCAAUUUCACGAAGCUGGCCUGAUUUGUGGCCAGAAUAUAGCACCGAUAAACACCAGCUACAACAUUCCCCGUUCUUCUGAAGUGGUGGAAGAGAUAGAAUCUGAAGUGAUGGGCGAGAUAGAAUCUCUUGUGAUUAAAAACGGCUGGGGUCUUUAUGCAGGGAACAAGACAAAUAUAUCCUUCUAUGCCUUAGCCCAAUGUUACCAAGAUCUUGCUCCGGUUGAUUGCUAUUUUUGCUACCUAACGAGUCGAGGUAUUAGACAUGAAGCUUGCGGCCGUGCAGCAUCAGGUCGAGUUUAUAUGGACGGAUGUUUCCUGCGUUUUGACAACUACAACUUCUUUGAUGAAAGCGUUGAUACAACAAAAGGUAUAUCAAAUUGCAGCAGCCGAUCAGCUGGUGUUCUGAGUGUCGAAGAUGUAGAGAAUUUUGGAAAGAAUGUUGUAAAGUUGAUUGAUAAAGUAACUUCAGUUGCUUUGAAGAAUGGAGGGUUUGCUGUAAAGGGGUUGAAUGGAGUGUUUGGCUUGGCGCAGUGUUGGAAGACUUUAAGCGAACAAGGGUGUAAAGAAUGUUUAACAAAGGCAAGUCGAAAUGCUAUAGGGUGUUUGCCUAGCCGGGAAGGCCGUGGGAUGGAUGCUGGCUGUUAUUUGAGGUAUUCGACUGUGAAAUUCUAUAAUGACCCGCCUAAGACUAUUGCAGGUAAGUACCAUGAAUUAUCGCACCUGUUGUAUGCAGUACAAAAAGUUUGUGAUGAAGAGAGAAUUGAUCCCAAAUUGAGUUUAGAGUUGCUCAAAUAUAUUCUAUUCGAUUAAAGGUGUUAUCUUUGCAGUUAGAAGUGUUCUAUCGAUUCUGUUUCUUGCCAAGACUAUCCAAUUGUUUUGCCUUAACCUACAUUUUUGUGUUAACCAAUAGUCUUAUGAGCUAUCAAAUUUCAGAAUUAAAACUUUGUUAGAAUUAUUCUUCUUUCAGCAAUUUCUUUCGCAGCUUCGCUUGUUUUGUUCCUGUUGACAUUCUGGUUAUUUUCAGGACCCUCAACAUGGGGAAAAAGAGUGGCUAUAGGCUCGUCUGUUGUGGCCUUCUCUAUGCUCUCUCUUUUCGCUGCCUAUGCAUUCUACGCAAGAUUCAAAAAAUCCAUUCAAGGUAUGAUAAGAUGAUCGAUAACCAAGGCGUAAGUAAAGAUGAUUUCUAAUGCAGUGUUUUUUUUUCAACUAAACGUAACAAAUUGUUUCAUUUUGUGGUGAUGCAGAACAGAGAAAAUUAGCCCGAAUUUCACAUGCAUACAACAAGUCAUAUUUGUACUUCAAAUAUGAAAUCUUAGAGAAGGCAACAAACUAUUUCGAUCCCAGAAUGAAAAUAGGCCAAGGAGGAGCUGGUUCCGUAUAUAUAGGAACUCUUCCGGAUGGAAAAGUAAUUGCUGUAAAGAGGUUGUUCUUUAGUACCAGUCGAUGGGUUGAAGAGUUCUUCAAUGAGGUGGAUCUGAUCAAUGGAAUUCAGCACAAAAACCUCGUCAAGUUUUUGGGUUGUAGCAUUGAAGGUCCUGAGAGCUUGCUGGUUUACGAGUUUGUGCCCAACAAGAGCCUCGAUCACUACCUCUUUGGUUAGUAACAUUAUUAGACCAUAUAUUCUGGUUAACAAGUUUGUGUAGCAAUGCAGCGUGCACCUUAACAUGGUAGACUUACAAAUCACUCUGCAGAUGAAAACAGAAUUAAGAUUCUAAGUUGGAAGGAGCGAUUCCAAAUUAUAAUUGGAACAGCCGAAGGGAUAGCUUUUCUUCAUGGAGGAGCCGGGAUCAGAAUUGUCCACAGGGACAUAAAAAGCAGCAACGUGCUUCUUGAUGAGGAUUUUUCUCCUAAAGUUGCAGAUUUUGGAUUGGCUCGGCAUUUUGCCGAGGACAGAACUCACCUUAGCACUGAACUUGCAGGGACUUUGUAAGAGAAAAUGUUACUGCGAUUAGCAUUUUACUCCACUGUCAACAAAUGCAAUCAAGAUGAACAAGGAAACAUCAUCGUAUCUCCAGAUUGCAUGUUUGAAAUUUUAAUCAUUUGCUGAAAUGAACGUUUGAUUUUGGCUUUGUUUACAGAGGAUACAUGGCUCCUGAAUACCUUGUCAAAGGACAGCUCACGGAGAAGGCUGAUGUAUACAGUUUCGGCAUCUUGGUUCUUGAGAUCGUCUGUGGUAGAAAGCAUAAUUAUGCUUCCAAGGACGACUCUGGCUCACUUCUGCAAACGGUAAAGAUCCAAUUCUCUUAUCACCACAUUUCAUUUCAACUUGCUAAAGCCUAAAAGGGUUCAGAUUCGCUCAGACAAGAUGAACAAAAAUUGUUCUUUACUGUUGGCCCAGGUUUGGACGUUUUACCAAACGGAUAAACUCGAGGAAUUAGUCGAUCCUUGUUUGAAAGGGAAUUUUCCAGCGCUAGAGGCAUGGAAUGUGCUUAAAAUUGGGCUUUUGUGCGGUCAAGCUUCUGCUACUUCAAGACCAUCUAUGGUUGAAGUCGUUCAAAUGGUUACAGUUCCUAAUUGUGCCAUUCCUGAACCAAAUCAACCGCCAUUUCUAAAUUCUAACAGCAGUUUUCCGGCAGCCAAUCCCAGCAGGUCCUGAAGCUUUGAAGUUCUUCCCUUGCUUAGUUAUGUUGUUAAUGUUCAAAUUUCUGGGAUGUCAAAUGGGCUUUGUGAGUUCAGCAGACUCAGACAACGUCCAUUCUAAACAGGGACGUAAAAUCAAGCCAUGUGCUACAAGAAGAGAAAAGAAUUUUCACCUCAACGACAUUCGUCCAUUUUGAAUCCAAGCUGUUUUAGCCGAAAGCUUAGCCCACUAAAACUCCCAUAUGAAACGUGUGAAAACAACAAAAGCAAACGAAGACAUGCACAGCCACAGCACAGCCAGUGGAGUCAAAUCUAUAUAUGAAGCAUGUACAACAAAAGCACGGAGAACAGAGGGGAAGUCACCUUCAUAGUCCUUGACGUUUCAGAAUCCUUAGAAAGUCACUGGUUUAAUUACAUCGUAGGCAGGAACCUGUCGGUGCAAAGGGAACAGCACAUCUUUUUUUUACGGUACGUAAAUUUGAUAUGUACUGAUGAUGGAUUCGUGUGAACUAGAGCCCUUGUAAAAACAAAAAUUUGUGACAUAGAGCCAAGUCGAUUAAAUUUGUGACAUGGCCGGGGGAGUGGAGGUAUUAAAAUAGGUGAUUCUGAUAGAUUUGAGCCGAUUAAUACAAAUCACACUUCUGUUACUAAUUGAUUUGUAGUGUGAGUAACGAAUCCCAUAUUGGUUCCACCUCUCACGAGCAUGUUCGCACAAUUGUGGACAAGCGCAAUAAAUUACGAAACGAAGAAGACCGAUCGAUCUAUUCCAGCCACCAGAGUAAGCGCUUAAACAGUUCUAAAAGGCUCCUUCUUCCUUUUCUUCUUCGUGCGAUUGGUAUUGGGACCAGCACCGUCCCCCACACCGCAGUUGAAUUUUAUUUUUUCAACCCUAAACAUUUAUUUCUUUGGGAUAAUUUUAGAAACCUCCCUUGAUAUUGAUGACAAUUGUGGCCACCCUCUCUAAAGUUUGAAAAAUUACACUUACCUUUUCUAACAUUCAUUAUGAAAACACACUAUGAUAAACUUUAUGGAACAAAUUUUAAGUUGAAAAUGAGUACCAAAAAAGAAUGUAUGAAGUACCAAAAAAGAAAGAUUUCGGAACAUGACUUAAAUUUUCCUGCAAAAAAUUAAAUUGAAGUUUUCGUCUAACGAAUAAUAGUAAUAAUUGACUUUUUAGCAUUUAAUUUGUUUUAACAUAUCACAUAGGGAUGAUAUUCGAUAUUUAUUGGAUUUUUUUUUUUUUUACUUACACCAUUAAUUGUUACCAAAACAUACUUUUUAAGGAGAAAUUUCUACUAUCAGUUUUCAAACCUUACCGAAGGUGGCUGCAAUUAUCAAAAACCGAGGUUUCUGAAAUUAUCCUUUUUCUUUUUGUCCCAAACCAGGGUUCUUUUAUUCUAGAUUCAUUGUGUUCAAUUCGGAAUCACUAAAUUCUUGAACAGUUUCGCUAUGAUGGAUUUGCUUAUAUGGAGGGAGAAGUCCUAAAUUUCUAUACCCCCUAAAGCACAACUCUUUGCCCUUUGAUUCUUCCUUCCAAAUGAAUCUAAACAAAAAGUGAACCCUGUACCCCACUAGAACUUAUAUAACUGUACAUUCAUUAUUCGUUGCUGUUUAUUUUCUUGGUCCCCAAGACAAGUGGAUAACGUCGGGUACGGGCUCAGUAACGCAGGCUACACUUAUUGCAGUCGAAUUUAUUUCCAACACAGUCGACACUUCCCCAAAGGCAAAGGCUAAAAACUGCCUAAUAAAUCAGCAAUUGCAGGUUCAGUGACACAGCAACGAAUUAAAAGAUGGCAAUAAAUUUUUUUUUUUUUGGGGUCAAAAAAAGAUGGCAAUGGUUACUUCAUCAGUUUUACAGAUUUGGCAGUUACCUGUGGUACUUGCAUUAUCAGGGAAUGAAAUAAGCUGAUGCAGGGUUUCUUUCUUCUUGACCACAGAAGCAACAACUUUCAGAAAUCAGAAGGGUUUAUUAAUAUUUGUAGCAAGCACUGAAUUUCGCAGUUUUCACUGCAUGGAGAUGUGGCAACUAGCAAGGCAUGGCUAACAUAAGGAAGCCAACUCCUAGAAAAGUAACUGGUUCGAUAUGAUUUUACUUGCAAAAAAAUAAAUUAUUUGAAUGCAUUACAAACAUUUUUUUUAAUUAUUUUUAACUAUUCUUUAUCUGACACACGUUAUAUCAUAAAAAGUGUUGCAGUUUUUGUCAAAGUAUUAUUCUAAAUAACCUCCUAUUAAAUUCAUGCUCUAUAUUGUAGUCUCAUUUUCAUGAAAGGCAUUCCCAUUCACGCUCUUCAAUUCCAAAAAUUACAGUAAUAAAAAAAAACAUAUACUCCAAGUAAAUUUUUAAAAAAAUACCUAGACAUGCUUUAAGUAUCUUUAAGAAGCAUCCCUGUUAGGAUUUUAAGAUUUAAAACUUGGUUAAGAUGAAAGGCAUCUCCAAUGUAUUUUUUAUUAUGGGUUAAUAAGCCCUAAUCAAGCAACGUGUCCUUAAAAGGAGCAAAAAAAGAAGAAGAUAAGCCUUAACCUCUAUGAACUCUAUUUAAGCAAUUUACCGUCAAGUGAAACUUUCUUCACUCUUUAAGUUUUUCUAUAGAUUCCAUCACUAAUGGCUCCCUGAAAUUCAUAUUAUGCAACGUACAAGCGUUUAUCAAAAGUGAGAUCAAUAAAACCAAAUGAAAGGAGUAGCUAGCACAGAAUAGCCAUGGCAGAGGCCUCAAUUUAUUAAAUGCAAUAUCUAUUAAAGUUAUUGAAUAGUAGCGGUGAAUGAGAAAGUCUCGAAAUACUGGUUAGCAAUGCAUCCCAUUUUUACUGUCAAUGAUAGUUAUGGUUUCAUCAUCUACAGUCUCAUCAACUCCCUCCCUCUCUUUAAAUAUGCUUGCUUGGUUUUGAAUCAAGAAUCUGAAGUUGCUGGUUAGCUUUUACAUCUU